This 47294-nucleotide long non-coding RNA is filed under the name Malus domestica (apple). Lineage: Eukaryota; Viridiplantae; Streptophyta; Magnoliopsida; Rosales; Rosaceae. The record is from RNAcentral.
CAGCCACCUUCCUCAUAUUGGCCGAAAUUUAUAUGCCUUGUUGCCUAUUUGUGAGCAAUCUUCAAUUCUUGCUUAUUUUGUGAAGAUGCUUUGGCUUUCUUUCCGGUUUUGAGAGAUUUUGGGCCCCUUGCCGAUUUUAAGGGGGAUUUUCUCCCUUUUGCCGAAUUUUAGGAAUGUUUUACACUUCCUUUGCUUGAUUUGUGCCACAUGUCAUUGAUGACUUGUCCGUUUGUGAUGAGUCAUAUGCCUUUUGUAUUCAACGCAAUUUACAUGUCUACAAUAACACAUACACCUUUUGUAUUCCUUUGCUUGAUUUUUGCCAAAUUUUAGGAAUGUUUUACACAUACACCUUUUGUAUUCAACGAAAUUUACAUGUCUACAAUAACACAUACAUAGAAAACUUUGCAGCAACUACAACUAGCUAUGAUUGAACGAAAAUUUUGACAGCAGCUACCACUAGCUAUAACCCAUAAAUGGAAAGGACAUAUAUUUUUCUUCGCUUUUUCAAAAUUUAGGGUAAACCAGAAGAACUGACAACUGAGGGUCCGUGAGCAUACAUUCAUAUAUCUGGGUUUAUUAUGUUUAUUUGUUUGUCUCUCAACCAUUAAAAAGAUCUUACAAAGUUCCUGACAUAAUUGUAUCAUAAAGAACUGAAGGAAAUAACUACAGAGUACGUACGCACACAACCUUCACACCUACUUUUCCUUCGAAUUGUUUUUUGGGUAAUGAACAGCUGGUCAUCAAGAGUUCAGGUUAGUUGCAAAGGGUUAAAUAGAUUAGAGCUAUCUUAAUGGAAGUCUCUUUAAAGUUUUUUUAAAAUGGUGGGUAUAUGGGUCGAUAGGGUUUCUAAAUUAAAGAACUUAGGUUAAGAUCAAAUACUUAUUAAUUAAGAAUAUAUUGAUUAGGAAUUAAUUUUGGUUUUUGAGUUAGGUUAAAGGGCUUUAUUUAUUAUUUAGGUAUAGGUCAAUGUGGAAUUCCAUAUGAGUUUCAAGUCGUUAUAAAUGAUUGAAAAUGACGUUUCUGCCCUUAAUAAUCUGACUAAAACGUAGAACUGAAUUCCAGUAUCCUUAAAGCUCAUAUCCGACACUACAUUGCAAUUUUUAUUCUGCAAUUUUAUGGAUUCAAAUUUCACUCUUUAUAACCUCAUUAGUUUGCCCCAUUUUUAGUUCAGGUCGAUCACGGCCUAGAAAGGCGAAAGCUCAACUCUCGUCAAAGCCAUCUUGGCCUUGCGUAUAUGAGCGGAUGCACAGAGAGACUAGUGAGGCACUUCAGAGAGACAUGGCUAACAUGAGUAGGUCACUGUUCAAGAACGAGAUCGAGCAGAUGAAGCCACAAAUUUAGCUUGCCACAUUUGACUUUUUCAAGGGAGACGAAAAUCCGAAGAGGUAACUGAAGCACUAUCAUAACGUGAUGAUUCUCUAUAUGAACAACGAAAUUGGGGGACCACGCUACCCCCUUAAACCACAUAAGGGGUUCACUGCCUACUUAGUCUCUUUAGAUCCAUAGGUCGUCCUGCUUGGUUACUCCGUAUUUGGAGACCACGUUAUUGGAUGGAUGCCUAUGGUUCCGCCUAGUUAAUCCACAUUGGGGAAUCAUACAUAUUCCAUUCGGGAUUCCAUUAAGUGGUUUGGAUACUUCGCUUUGCCUCGAUUCCAUUGAGUGGUCCAGAAUUGUAUUCUAUUUGGGAGUCCAAGAGUUUUAUAAAACUUUCUUGAUGGAAAAAAUGUGAAUAAAAGAUCCCCCUGAAUAGAAUUUGGUCCAUGAAUCUAAGAAAUGGUGAGAAUUCUAGAUCUCUCUCAAUUCGAAAAUCCAAGAUUUCAAUUGAUGUCUUGGCAUUGAACCCUCCUAAAUUGCAUUGAUUUAUCCUAAAGAUUUCAUUUCAAUUGAAAUUUGGUUAUUCACCAUGUAAGAGGAUCCCUGCUAAGCAUCCAUGGUUGAAUGGUUAAAGCGCCCAACGCAUACAUAAAUUGCAAAAUAAAAUGACAUAUAAAUGAUAAAGUAUUAGAACAUAUUCAAAACAUGGGGAAGAAGCAUAUAAUGGGUGAUCAUCGACAUAUUCAACAAGUCUCUUACAUUUUAUUGAAAAUUUAAAAUGCAAAAUGAAAUUAUCGAUUUUCUAUCUGAGUGAGAGUCGAGACCUAGGAGGGUUUAAGCAGCCUAGACCUAUGCCUAAGCGGGCUAGACUAGCACCUAGGUAGGCUAGGUGGACACCUAAGCGAGUCUAGGCAAUGCUUAGGAUUAAUCGCGGUGGUGCCAACCGCCUAGCACCACCUUUUUAGAAUAGUGGUUUGAUUACACCACUUCGCCUCAAUUUCGUUGAGUGGUCCGGAAUUGUAUUCUAUUCAAGAUUCCGUUGAGUGAUCUGGAUACCCUACUUUGCCUCGAUUCCAUUGAGUGGUCCAAAAUCGUAUUCUAUUCGGGAUUCCGUUGAGUGAUCCAGAUACCUUGCUUCCUCUCGAUUUCGUUGAGUGGUCCAAAAUCAUAUUCUAUUUGGGAUUCCUUUGAGUUGGUCUAGAAUGUAGGAACAUAGAAGCUGCUCAAGCUUAUACUUGUGUUGGAAACUUAGAGUUUCAAUGCUAUUGAUUUGAAUUUCAGGUAAGGAAAUACGACGAACCUUACAUAGGUCAGCUUUACUAAACUUAAUGAAGUGAUAUAAAAUUUUAUUGGUUUGAUUAACCUAGUUAAACGUUAAGAGCAUGCAUUUUUUAUUUUUUAUUUUUGAAAAAUUGUUGGUUGUGUUUGUGGGAUUGUUGUUGGAAAACAGUUCAGUAUACGUAAUAGAGGAAGGGAAAAACUCUGAUAUGGUUAAUUGGUUGACUUACGUGUUAUAAAAUUGAGGGAUCAUGCUCAUUGAGUUCCAUUGAGUAAUUUUUGAACCCUAUGUUUUUAUGCUAGAGAAAUGGUGAACUACAAAUGGCUUAAUCAAGUCUUUGAGUACGUAGGCAGUCUAACAAGAAGGUUAGAUGCAAACAUAAAAUAAAAGAAAAGUUACUAUGCUGUUGGACCUUGAUUUAUGUUCUGUUCAUGUCUCAGAGGCGAGAGAUGACAAAUGAAUAGAUAACUGGUGACAUCAUGUGUCGAUCUUGGAUGUAUCUCAAGAUCGGGGCGUAACAUGUGACCAAGGAAACAUUCUCGAGAAAGAAUUUUGCUAAAGCUACCAAACGGCAGUUUAUUCUGUCAAAGGCAAUUCACUAGAAUUUCCGUAAACUUCUAUGUCACUUCUAGGAAGAUGGAGCGCAGGUGCGAUUUCUUUCUCAAACACUUUUCCAAGACUAGGAACCCGAAUUGGACUACAGAAGUAGAAUAUAACCUGUAGUUGAUGAAUGCCUAGUCUGUUUUUGAUUCCUAUUUUGCUUGGUUUGACUAUUGAACAGGUAUAAAAGAAUUGCGGACGAUGUCAAGACCAGUGCUGCUUGUUUUUCUGCUUCUUAUUCUCAUUAUCACUUCCCAGUUUGAGUGGAAGCAACAAGUUGUGCCUGAUCUUGACACUACUCCAAGCAUCUCCAAAAAGCAGAAUCAAAACUCGAAUAGGGAAGUAGCUGUGAAAGAGAAGGUAACAAGCCUUUUCCUGAUUCAUGUAAUUCUUUGUUUGUAUUUAUUUUUAGUAAGUCCAUAUUUCAGUGUCCCUUAUUCUUUGAUGCUUAUAUGGAGAUAUUGAUUGUCACAAAAUAUUUCUUGAACUGAGAUUAGCUGCUUAUGGUAGACAUUUAUGUGCGGGUUUGUCUUUAUUUUUCAGUGGCUGCCUAGCUGGAAUGCUGGCUAAUUUUACUUGAAACCACAAUCGUAUGUUUUUUCCUCGGUUAUUCUUGAGGAACCAGUAACUACAAGCAUGUGAAUUUGUUUCUUUGUUUUCCUUUUCUAUCCUAUUUCAUUUGACGAUGUUUAAUGCAUAUAUGGAGGUUGCCACCGUAGACAAUUUUCUACCUGAUUCAGCCUUGCCCCAACAGAAACUACUUUUAUUUCUACUCUCACUUCCCUUUGGAAAAUGCGAGAUCAAAUACUUGAUCUUUGCUGUCACCUAAGUCCUGUGUGUUUCUGUUUUCUCUAUUAUUAGCUUUGAAACAAGCAGGUUUCUUCUCUUUCGAGGCACAAAAACUAUGCAUGUGUAUUUUGACCGUAUAUAGAUUGCUUGAAUAAAAGAUAAUCCAACAGGCUUGUAUCAAUCAAGAAGCAUUCAACUCUUCUGAGCAUAAGUGAUAAUUAUAAGCUGUUUACACUUUUUCCGUUUGGUAUGUACUGUUGGUAUGAGAGAGGUUAAAGUGAUCGAAACAUCAUCGGUAUGUGCUGUCGGAUUAUUGACUAAUGUCUACUCAUGGAAGCAGCAAAAUCAUUAAGAAAGAGUCAUGUUAUUUUUCUUUUCAGCCACACAGUUACUAAGUAUGUACAUUCAAAUAUUCGAUAUUGAGUGCUUUAUUUGUUCUGAAAGGUUUCUUCCACUUCUGAACUCCAAUAUCACACUCUUUUCUCUUGUUUAGCUUUCGUGUUCCUAUCCUCCUUUGUAAUUAACCAUGGACGUUUUCAUCCGUACAAUCAGGUUCUUUGUUUUUUUCCCCAUUUGGAUUGGAAACUAGUGUAGGUUCCUUGACCAUUGAGUGUUGGCGUGACUCUUAUGUAUGUAUCUCUAGUUCUCUACCUUACUAGCAAUUUGGUACUGAUAUGUAGAAGAGGGACAAAAAACAGAGGUAGAUAGAAUAUAGGAGCUUACUUAGAACGAGAAGUAGAACAAGAUGAGAGAGAAAGGAAUUAGGCUGAAGUCUUUUUAUGAUAAAAAUCAGAGUAAACUAAAACAACCGAUAUGAGGUGUAAUAUAUGCUUACAGACAGUCCCAGCUUAAUUAAAACGCCUAGAAUGAACAGAUAUUUUGUUUCUGACCAAAAAGACGACAACGCUUUGUAGCCAAUUUAUUGAUAUAUCUGUUUCCUGUACGGUGCUUAGUUUCUAAUCAACUUUUUUUUCUUUCUAUUUAUUAUAAGGAGAAUCCUUGGAAUAAUGUAUAUAUAGGUCCCCAUAGAUCUGUUAUCCGCUUAUCAAGCUUAUGUAGUGGCAGGGAUAAUGCAACGAGGAACCAAACACAAACACUAAGCUUCAUGCUUGGGUGAUUUUGUAUUUAUGUUAUGAUUCUUUUGGCCUAUCGGUUUCGUAGAUGCAGCGUGACUUCCCAUGAAUCUGAUGACAUGAAUGAACAUUAGUUGGACACAUGUAGUUUAUUAUGGGCAAACUGGUAUGUUGCAGUGUCGCCUGAAUGAAAGAUGUUAAUCUGCAUUUACCAUGAUUUAAAAUGACUUGUUAUUUUGCUGUAAUGAUCUGUUUCUAAUCCAUCUUUCAAUUGAAUCUUCAUCAUUGAUCCGAGUUCUUCUGUGGCUUCGAAGGUUUUGCAAGAGUUCUAAUUUAACAUGUUUGGCUUGUUGUAGAUCAUAUUAUUGCAGGAAAAGAACAUUCAGAGACUUAAUGAGCUUGUUCGUAGUCUUCGGCAACAGUUGGUACAGUGUAGGAGCAAGAAUGUGACUAGAAAUCAAACUGUAAGCUUCCUAACAGAACAAGUUACAGAACUUGAACGACAUCAGAUAUUCGAUGACUAGGCUGAGCCCGUGGAAGUAUAUGGAUUCUUGUAAUAUGUUUGAACUGUAAAAACCUUUGUGUUCUUUUACCAGGUUUCACAAUGAAAUUCCACUUAGUUUGAGUGUAGAAUGCCAACCACUCGUGUCAUUGUACCACACUGUAAUUCAAACGUAAGAAUCUUCUCGUCACAUUUUAACCGUUUUUCCCUUUGGUUAAGUGGAAAUUUAAUACUCUGAAAAGUUGUUUCUUCAUGCAGCGUGCUAUAAAAUUUGCCUGACAUAAAAAAUUUAAAAUAAGCGUUGCCGUUAGCAUGACGUCAACUUGUUCGAAGGCAGCACGUCCGGCUUGAGAAGGCUGGGCAUUGGGGCAGGCAAUGGUUGGCCCACCACUUGCCCUUUAUUUUAUGAAUGGCUAGAGUGGGUUUUGUGGGUUGGAGGUCAAGGGCAUGUAAGUUGUCCUUACUAUUCACUCUAAACAGUAAUUAUCUUUAUACAACUUUACCUGUUAGGAAAUAGCGAGGGCAAUGGCAAAGGUAAAUAUUAUUCACAAAUAUAUGUAUUUUUAUUUUAUUUUUGUAUGCUUUGUUGGCCUUAUCUAGCAGAAUUAAAAACCUUCUUUUUUCAAACUUUAUAUUAAGAAGAAGUAAUUAACUUACCUCAGGCAGCCUAUCAUCUUUCAAUCCUUCAAUCCGGUGAAAUUCAUGGCCUUCACUACAACAUUGUUACUGCAGUUGAGGUGUGGUUUCUGUACGUCUAGGAUACCAAAAUAUUGUAUCAUGAACGAAGAAAGGCAUGAGAGAAAAACAUAUUGGCUACAUUUCAAAGCCCUAUCACCAAAGAAAUCAACCCGUCGUCCUUUUCCUUCAAUCUGCUGAUGUCAUGCCAUUUCAAACCCAAGCCGUUCAUCAGCAGAUAAAAAAUUGAAAACCGCAACUACAACUUAGUCCCACAUCGGCCAUCAGCGGAAGGCACAACGCUUUAUAUAUAAUGAAGCCAAACUCGUGCCCCAGCUGGAAAUUUACUUGGUUGGGGGGACCACUUGCUGGUCGUAGAACACGGGCGGUGCAGAGUGUCAGCAAUUACUCUUUCAGACCUUUUUCACGAUCUUCAACGGGGGAUCCACUUUACAGUCGGUGACGUCAUGAUAGUGACGUCUGCCCUACACAAAAUGUACUGCUGGAAGUGAUUUUAUGGUAGUCAAACAUUGACAUGAAGAUUGAUACGACAAAUAUUGGUCGGUAGUUAGUGAACAAACCAGGAGGAUCCUCGAGGAUCCUGAAGAUGUGUGAUGCUCUUUAUGAGGAUCGUCGAGAUUGAUACGACAAAUAUUGGUAGGUAGGUAGUCAACAAACUAGGAGGAUCAUUUGUGUUCGUUUAUCGUAUAUUGUGAAAAUAAUUUUAAGAAUUUUUAAAUUGUAUCUGUUUAUUGUACAUCGUGAGAUUAAUUUUCGUCAGACGAACAUAAUUUGAGAAUUUUCAGAAUCCUCACAAUCCUCAUUCGUGAACAAAGAGUUUUGAUAAGACUAAUAUAAAAUGGCUUGCAAAAACAGUUGCAUUUCCAGUAGAUUCAGUGAUCCUUUCUCGAAAGAAAAAAAAGUAGAUUAAUUGAUCUAAUUAUGGAUAUCUCCAAAUUUUUUCCUUUUUUCCUUAUAUAGCACUUAGCCUACUUUCAUUUGUCUGUUUUUGGGAAUUUGAGAGAGAGGGGGGGGGGGUUUGAGGGGAGAGAGAGAGGAGGAGGUCACAUUCUUUCAAUUGGGUGCGUCGACUAAAAAGAAAAGAAAAAAGUGGAGGAGGUGUGUGUACCGAAUGACGGAGGAUUCCAUCAAUUCACAAUUUUUUUUUUAGAAAAGAAGAUAAUUAGUGGUAAAUUACGGUUAUCUAUUCAUUUUGGAAGCCAAGAAGACUUGUAGAGGCAUUUCAGCCUUUCCCUGUCCACAGUCAAACAUACUUAUCAGCUUGAAGCCUCGACCCAAGACCUCCUUUUUUUUUUUUUUUUUUGUAUUUUAAGAGCUAGAAUCUGUGCCCUUACCAUUGGCCACCUAUGGAUGAAUUCACAAAUUUUUGAGGUCUUGAUUCUUGAACAGUUCAUUUGUCACUUUUUUCCUUGUAUGGUGGGAUUGAAGUGUUGUGAUCAAAUAGGAUUUGAGAGGAUAGAUAUAAAAGGAGCCCAUCUCCUAGAAAUGGAACAGAUCAGUUUUAACAAAAGAAAUCAAAUACAAAAAUAUUGGAGCUUGGCUUCUUCUCUCCUCCUUCCUUCCCUCUUAUUCUAUGUGCAAUAAUUAAGGUCGAUUUAGGGUUGAGAUUGAGUCUUAACAAAGCACAACUGAAGUUCUACACUCCAGAAUCAUUAGAGGAAUCAAAAGCUCUCUCAAACGGUUUUAAUGUUACCUCUAUCCUCACCAUUGUGAGUUGUGUGAGAGACUUGUUACACUGGCAUUGGGCAACACUAGAUUCGGAUACUCAAUGUAAAUGUGAAGGCAAGACCACAUGCUUUACUAAUUUGGUGAGACAAACUCAUGUGAUAAAAUUUCUUAAGAUUGGUUAGAGUCAUUAGACAAACAUCAAUAUAGAAGCUAAUGGGAGUGAGCAAAAACAGACUCGAGAAAUUUUGUAUGUGUGGUUAUAUUACUUUAUCUUUGGCUGAAAAUAGCAUCCACUGGACAUAACAUGGCAUGUGUAUAAUAUUUGGACACUCUUGUGAUAGACCACUAGUUUGUAUUAAAAAAUUUUAGGAUUAUUUAGAUAUAGACCCUUACAACUCUUCUUUCCUAGAUAAAAACCCACCUAAUUCUAAACAUCAAAAUAAAAUCCAAAGUUGAAAAGAGAGCUACUAGACCCACCCCAUUGUCUUAUUUCUCCACCCACGCUAUAAUCUCACCCUCCUUAAAAAGUUAAAAAAUUAAAAUGUUAUUUCCCCACCCCCUAUUAUUUUCAAAAUAUCCUUUAACAUAUGCAUACAUAUGAAAUUAUAAAACAACAUAUAAUUUUCAUAAUGCAUCACAGACAUAGUAUUUCAACUAGCUCUUGUGCCAGGGUGCUGCUGAUUCAUUCCAAGCGUUCUAAAAUGCACACGACAAUGAAACAGCAAAAAAGGAAAGGAUUGUUUGAUUUGCUUAAAGAUUUUCGUAGGUGAGUUUUGUGUUUCUCAACAUAUUGUUGACCCUAAAAACUACCAAGCCUACGUGGCGCGCAUGCCGAGUAAUCUAUAAGCUAACUACGUCAUUCGGUGAAUGCGGGGCGUGCCAACUCGUCGGCCGAGGAGUAAAUUUGUUGAUGUUGCGUUGGGCGCGCGGCUGACUUCUGCAUCUUGCGAUUGCGACCGAGGAAAGAACACGUCUCGGCCUCUUGGGUUCUCGAACCUGAAGACAAGGCUACUAUUCUUACGAAGUUCACGAAUCGUCGUCGUCGGAUUCGGUCACAGUGAUGUUAUUCGUCAAAGUAAACUCACGCCGAAUUGACACCAAAGUGUAAGGGCACAAAUACUCAAAGCAAAUAUAAGUCUUAAUAGUGAACGUGGUUCGGCCGUCUGAAUGCCGAACUCUAAAUCCCACUUGAGAGUAUCCAAUCAUAAAAUAACUCGGCGUGCAAUGUGCCGAGCUCAGUAAACUAUAACACCUCACUUUGCCGAGGAGGCUAAUGAGAUGACCUCAAUCAAUAAGGAUUCGGAAAUCCUUCUCGACCGAGACUUGGAUAGGUAACCAACCGUCCUCGCCGCAGUGCUGUUGAUACCAACGGAAGAUGCUGCGAGAUCGGCUGAUUCUACGGCGACAGAGCUAUCUAUGCCGACUUAAGAUAUCACCGGUUGCUUUCACAGUGCUGUUGAUGCCAACGGAAGAUGUGUCAGCGAAAAGAGAAAAUAAAAAUCUCAAAGUUGUUGAGAGAGUUUGCGCAGAGGGCAGUUGUGUGUUCAAUUGGAGCGCUUGAAUGAUGCACAGCCUCCUCUAUUUAUAGCACUGGAUACCUUUAAGGUCUAGUUAAAACCCUACUCGGACUAGGUCUUCUUCUCCUGAUCAAACACCAACUCGACCAGUCCUAUUUUCACUAUAAUUGUGAACCUAGUCCUUUAUCAAGCUGGAUUCACUUCCAAGUUAUUAAUCCUGCCAAGACUCCUUAUUGCGCCAGGACUCGACUUGUCUUGCAGCAUGACCUAACCGACCUAGGUUUGGAGGCCCACGCACUAAACGAUCCAUGGUACCCUUGUCGUAAGGCCUUCCGGGCCGAGAAUGAUUCUAUACUCGGCCCAAACUAAUAUUUUGGGCCCAAACACAUAUGUUGGCCAAAUUCAAAUAAGCAAUAAAAUUAAGGAUAUGUUGCCCAAAUCGUUUUUGCUGAUCUUGAAGUCACAAGUAUGCAAAUUCAAUUGGAAAACACAGAGGUAUCCAAAUUCAAAAGGAAAACUUCGACGGCAAAUGCAAAAGACCCACAUACAAAAUUAUUUUUACCUCUUCAAUAGAAACAUAAUCUUCUAACUCUUCCAUAGAAGCGUCAUCUUCUACUUCUUCAACAAAAAAGUCAUCUAAAUCCUUUUUUUUUUCUUCCUCUAGAUGAAAAGAGAUGGAAAGAUGAGUUAGGGUUUAAGAUAAACUGAGCGUGCAACCCUUUUUUUUAAUGCAAAAGAGGAUAAUUAUGUCAUUAUCAGUCAUUUUACAAAUGAACAAAUUUGUAAUUAAAAAAAUUUAAUAAUAGAUGGGUGAAAAGAUAAGACAAUGAGGUGGGAAUAACAUUACUCUUUGAAAAAGACUGCCAAAUAGAAAAGUAAUUGACCUACUAUUACAAAUAUUUACAACUUGUGCCACAAUAUUCAAAUCAAAUCAAUAAAUAUUACCAUAAUUAUAAUGAACAAAUAAUUAUUGCACAUACUAUUACCCAUAACAUAUAUCAAUAUAUAUAUAUAUAUAUAUAUAUAUAUAUAUAUAUACAUACAUACAUAAAUACAUUCAAAAGUAUAUCAUACUACUAAAAGUUCAAUAAACAUAUAAUUUACCUAUACGUAUAUAGUACUACUAUACGUUCAAAUAUAUAUAUGCGCAAUACUAACAUAUAUGUUAAAAAAUUAUUAUAUGUGUUGUAGGCAUAAUUUACUGAACAAUUAUGGAGGCCUUAGACAGAGAGGGGGUGCGGAAAUAGAGAGAAGAAUAGAGAGAUGUGUAAUUGUGGGUGUGUGUUAUCUCACCCCAUUGUGCCUUUAUUUAUAAUAGUAGGAAGGGUAAAACCUUUCCCUUUAGGAUUACAACAUUUAAUAGGUAAUCCAAUCCUAAUAGGAAUAUAAGAUACAUUCCCAUAUUUCCUAGGAUUUACACAAUCACAUUCCUAUUCUAAAUAGGACUGCAACACUCCCCCUAGAGUGUGUAAAUACUCAAGUAAAUGGCGCAUCAAGUCUUCAUUGAUGAAGUAAGUACAGUUGAUGAAGUCGUCGGCACAAUGGGCCAAUGCGAGUCUCAAAUCAACGGAAGAAUGCAUAAAAAGUAAAACUCACAAAACCUCGUUAUGGUAAAACCAAGAUGGGAGAAAAACCGAUAGUCUAAGGAGAAAAGUGAGAAGUUGCAUUAAGUCAAAACUAUACGUCUUUUGGACGCAAGUAGAAGAGCUCUCAAGGGUAUGAUCAGCCUAGGAUGGGUGCCUCGUUAAAACCUAGGUAGGUAGCAAAAACCCAGUGGAAAAAAUGCUCCUAAUCGUAGGGGAAAAUAGUACAUUAAGAUCAAGUGAGUAUACUUCUGGAUACUCCCCCUGAGUUUGACAUAACUUCCAAAUGAGAACUACAAGCAUUGCAUAUGAGUAGUUAGGCAUACCAAUUCCUCGGACAAGCUUCUGGAAGGUUGACUUCGGCAGUGACAUCGUGUAGAGGUCGGUAAGGUUAUCUGGGAUCAGUUUGCAUGACUUCAAUCUCCUGAUGCUUUGCUGAUGUAGAUGUAGAUGCAAUAUGUCUUGGUGUUGACUUCGUUGAUGUAUCAUGGCUUGGUCGGGUUGAUACAUGUGGCAUAAUCUUCAUGGAUCGUCGUUGGGACUCAACAGUGGAUGAAAAUAUAGCAAGUACUUCGAAUAUGCUCAAUAAGAACUCCUAACCAAGUCUCACUUAUGGCAUAGUGAAGUAAGGUGAGUCUUGGAAUGAUUCGAAGAUUUCGCAACUAGGGUCAUAUCGUGGACCUCCAAGAUAUUGUGAUAUCCCUAGUGGUAAAGACAUAACCAUUUGGGGAUUUUACCUUGUGCGGGUUUGAUAAGUAACCAGUGUCAGCAUAACAAACAAGGCAAUCAUCAUUUCGAGGAUCAGGGGGGUUAGAUCUGCUCAAGAUGCGUUGGGAUUUGCCCACGUAACACCUUCAGGGUACGUCUUUAAUACCAAUUCAGUGGUUACGUGUAGGCGCGGUGCUGCAUCUUUACCAAGAUCAAUAACGAAGGAGAUGUCCUGUCUAAAUACAAUGAGCUAAGUACAACGAAGCGUAAAGUUGAACUUUUAGAUAUGGAAUUUCGGAUUCCAUAGACUUUUCAAGAGUCUCAUUUGCAUAUAACGUAUGGACGAUCAUGGGUAUACUCAAAGGUGACACAUUCCGGGUGUAGUUCAACUGGUAGACCAAAAUACCGUCAGAACAAUGCUUCAACUUCAGGUCAAGGCAUAAACGAGUUUUCCCAAGAUCCUUCAUCUCAAAUUCCAUCUUCAGGUGCGAGGCAGUUUUCUCAAGCUCUUCCAGAGUCUUAGUGAGAUUCGUGUUAACGACAUAAACUGUAACUUUAGCAAUUUGGAAUAAGACUUCAUAGUUUAACACGCAAGGGCAUAAUUCAUAUCCUUAACUGAUCAAAUAAUCACUUAGACGGGUAUAGCACAUCCGUCGGAUUUUUCAAUCCAUAAGUGAACGCCUCAAAACGAGUUAAGAAGGUGUUUUGUGGUUUGGAACUAUUUGAACCAGUUUAUGUAAUUCUUCGGGAACUUACACGUAAAUCUCCGUAUUUAUAUCCCCAUGGAGAAAUACUAACCACAUUUCAUAAUGCUGCUAUCAAUCACAGAACGUUUUGAGAGAAACCUUGUGCCGUAAGGCGUGCAUCAUAUCGCACUAUUUCAUUCAUCUCAUAACGUUUCCUUUCCCACUUGUAACUCAACACGGUUACCUUGGGUAGUGUAGGAACGACAGGUCCAAUACACACUUUGGUAAGGAAUUUGACCUGGAUUGUAACUUUAGUUGUCCAAUCAGUUCUACGUUGUCACUUAAUCAACGGAACACGGUUCGAUAUCGUCGCUUUUCAUUUAUGUCGGUAGCUACCAUAUAAGUGAAAACAUCAUCGAUGAUAAUCUCAUUUCAAUUCCAUUUUCUCAUCCAAACUAGUAUAAUAGACCAAGAACUUCAAGUCUCAGGAGUAAUCCAGAUUAAUCUCAUGAGAUGGAAAUGAUUUGAGACAACGAUCGAGUUUAGAUUCAUUGUUGUGUUGUGUCUUCCUCUUCUAGGGAAGUGAAUCCUACGACCUAAAUGAUAUGUCGUGCUCCAGGCCAAGACAUAUUGAUUGGCUAUCCGCCGGUGUACCGGACCGUCCAACAGGGGCGUCCAAACCAUCCAACAUGGGCGGCACACCCUCCAGGAAUGUUGACUCGACGUCCGUUAAGUACGUUUAUCCUUGCAGGCAUGUUUGCAGCUGGUAUAUGAUCUCGUUACUUUAGCUAGAUCAGAGGAAUGUGUCUGGAGCAACAUUUUGAAAUCUAGAAUUCGUCGCACUUGCUUAUCACACUUGUGCGCUAUGGGGAUCGAGAUGAGACAUAGUGGGCAACGUCCAUGCAAAUUUACGCCGUUCUACAGGAACGUUGACGUUCUUAUCUCCCUCUAACGGCGAGAAGACUGUCUCAUUAAAGUGACAACUCGCAAAUAAGCGGUAAAGAGAUCGUGUGCAAGGGCUCGAAGAGAGCUAGUGUGAAGGAGAAUCAUGAUCGACAAAAGAUACACAUCCUUCUUUGAGGACCCAUGGUGGUACGUUGCGGCGGCACAACUUGGCACAUGGAAUGCGCACCCAAAUGCGUAAAUAUGAAAGUCGUCAGGUUCGUACCUAGUAACCAACUGUAACGUCAUAUAGGUUGGGUAGCAAUGGGCCUCAAGGCGGACCAACAUAGCUACGUGCAAGAUUGCAUAGCCCUAGGCAAAGACCGAAAACUUGGUACCAAAAUUUGGGCGAUCAUUUAAAUUGUGCUUCAUGAUCGCUAAGCUAGGCUAUUUGGGGUGAAUAUGGGAAUGCGAUGUUCAAUUACAAACCCAAAAUGACAUGCAAUACUUUAUCGAAAACCGUUGAUAUAAACUCUCUAGCAUUAUCCAGUCUUCCAGACCUUAAGGGAUAAGUAAGGUGGUGAACCCUUAAUCGGCCAAGAGGUUUAGCAGUAACGUGUGUGGACAAACAUGUGACCAGUUUGUCGAUUCAUCAACCAAAACCAUAAAUAUUUAUAUGGUCCGCAUUUUGGUUGGAUUAGUCCACAUAUAUUUGAUAGGAGCAUAUUUAUGCGACUUAAUUGGCUUGUUCUCGUGCUUUUACGUUGUGUUUCUUUAGUUAUUUUAGUGUUUAAAGUCACUUUUGUUUGUUUUUAGAUUCUAAGGCCAAAGUGUGCAAAAUGAUGUAAUUUGGAGCCUUUUGGAGCAAAAGGAAUGGAUGAAUUGAAGACUUGAAGAAAUUAGGUUUCCUAAUCAACGAAGGAUUCCUAAUUGAAGAUGGACUCCUAAUCACAUGAGGAUUCCUACUCCAACAAGGAUUCCUACUUGAAGUAGGAAAGUUAAGCCAAGGUUUCCUAUUUUGGUUUGACCUUUCCUAAUUCUAAAAAUACUUAUGUUCCAGCCACUUUGAGGAAUUCAUAUGCACUUGAGGACACAAAACAAAGGCCCUAGAACCCUUAGGGACCUUUGCCGCUCUUACCCCAUAUUCCACCUUCCUUGCCGUGCAAGGGAUCCAUUUCCCCUUCAGUUUUAGGACAUCUAACCUUCCCUAAAACCCAUGUCGCACCUUGUGAAGGAUUUCUGACCUUUCCUCUUCCUUGCCGUGCAAGGGAGAGUGAUUCUUUCCUAUUUUCUGAAUGAAAACACAUUCCUUUUGUGUUUUAAUCCCAUGCCGCACCUUUUAGCCAAUUUCCCUUAAUUUCUGAUUUGUUUCCCUAAUUCUAGAAGCUUUUGACUUAAUUUCUGAUUACCUAAAUAACCUAGGGUUUUAAUUCCCUAAACCCUUUAAAUAAACUUCCUUGUUGCAGCCACAAAACAUCCAUUCACUACCAUUCACGCCAGAAAUCAUCCACCAUCCCUUACCACGUCCAUACUUCACCAUUCAUCAUAAUUUCUACCCAGAAACAACCCUUGCCGUCCCCUACAUCCAUCCUAACCUUAAUUCCAUCCUUCUACAUCAUCCAUAACUCCCCAAACUCACCCCUAACCCUUGUGCCGCAGCAAAGGAGAGGAAGAAGAAGUGCUUGAAGGUUCUAGCUGUUCAACAUUGAAUCGUUGGAGUAUUUAGGUGUUCCCUUUCUUAUAUUUACAAUGUAUAAAUCUGUUUUCCUUUGUUUUGUGAACAUGAGGAACUAAGCCUUUUUGGCUAGGGGGCUUUUUUUGCUUGUAUUUGCCAAAAAUUUGAUUGUUAGCUUAAGCAAAAUUGAUGAAAGAAUUUGAAUUAACUUUCUUAACCUAUUUGUUUAUAUUCAAUGAAUUAUUUGUGUUUAAUGUCUAAUUAAUUUCAUUUAAACCUUUGAAGUUUGUUAUAUUCAUUAUUUUGAAGUCUGUGAUUUGUUUUUUUUAAAAUUUAUUCUAGUUAAAUCACUUAUUUGCAACAUGUUUAGAUUGUUUUAGCAAGUCAAUUGCAAAUGUGGUUUAAAAGAAACGAAAAUCCUUACUUUAUCCCAUACUACAAUUGUCUGAAAGAAUUUAAAUUUGUGUGUGUUUAGCUAUUUACGCAUCAAAUUUUGGCGCCGUUGCCGGUAAGCAAGAACUUUGCUUAGAUCCCUUAUGUUCUUUUUAGUUUUCGUUUGUUUUUCUUAUUUGUUGAUUUAUUUUGUUUCUUUGUUUUUAUAUACUUUUGUUGUUUAGCCAUCUUUGGCAUUUACUUUUUUUGUUUUUUGUUUUUAGGUACUUGCCUCGAAGUUCCCAACCUGUUCGUGAGCAUAUUUUGGACUUUGACGACGAUUUUGAGAGAACUUUGAGAAGAAGGAGGAACCAACAAGAGUCUAACCCACUUAGCCCUGAACCUGACCUUGAAGAACAAGUUUUAGAAGAAGAAGAGAGGGGCACGGCUGGGAUUUUUGAGGAAGCACCAAUCAUGGCAGCUGACAACCGCACAAUCAAGGGGCUUUCAGCUUCGGGAUUGGAUAAUGCCGCACCUUUAUGCAUCCAAUAUCCCAUGGCAGCUCAAGGCAAGACCGAGGAGUUCGAAUUGAAGUCUAGCUUGUUGCACCACAUCCCAAAGUUCCAUGGGAUGUCCAUGGAGGACCCUAACAAGUAUUUGAAAGAGUUUGAGGUGGUUUGCUCAAGUAUGACUCCGGUUAACGUUGAUGGCAGCAUCUUGAAGAUGAAGGCUUUUCCAUUCUCUCUAAUGGAUAAAGCUAAAGAUUGGUUAUAUGAACUUGCACCUGGGACAGUCACAUCGUGGGAAAGUAUGAAACGAGCGUUCUUGGAGAAAUUUUUCCCUACUUCAAGAGUCAUUCUCUUGAGGAAAAGGAUAAGUGGCAUACAACAAAACCAAGAUGACUCUUUUCCAUCUUAUUAUGACGUUUUAAAACGCUUGUUGCUUCUUGCCCGCAGCAUCAAAUGAAGGAAGAGUUGCUACUCCAAUACUUCUAUGAAGGCCUUCUACCAAUCGAACGUCAAAUGCUAGAUGCCUCGGCGGGAGGAGCAUUGGUAGAUAAGACACCCAUGGCAGCCAAAACACUUAUUGCAAACCGUGUAUUGAAUGCACAAUAAUACGAAGGCAUUGGGCAAAGGGAUACCCCACAGUAACAAGUUAAUGAGGUAAGUUCCACAUCCGACAUUCAAUCUCAAUUAGCUAAUCUUACGUCCAUUGUUUCUCAGAUGGCCGAAGGAAUGAAAAUUCAAGGACUAAUGGUGUGUGGCGUAUGUUCUAUCCAAGGACAUGCCUCUGAAAAGUGUCCUCAACUCAUUGUUGAGGCUCCCUCCACUUGAAAUUUGGGUGAUUUCAAAGCCAAAAUCAGCCAAGGCACGAUCCAUACUCCAACACAUAUAAUGCAGGUUGGAGAGACCACCCAAAUUUCAAGUGGAGGGAGCCUCAACAACCCCAACAACAAGGAGGCUUUAGGUAACAACCCCCGGGCUUCUACACUAAACCAUACGCACCCUCUUAAGUCCAACCACAAUCUGCCCCAAAUGCUUCAGGUACGUCUCUAGAUAAUAAUGCACUUCUUAAGAUACUAACCAAGUUAUCUCAGGGGCAAGACGAUCACACCCAAGCAAUGCAAAAACAAAACAAAAGGGUGGAUCACUUGGAGAAACAAAUUGGGCAGAUUGCAGAUUUUGUAGGGAAGUUUCAAGACCAAGGCCAACUUCCUAGUUCUACCAUUCCAAAUCCGAAGGGAGGGUUCGAAAGUGCAAAAGCCAUAUUGUUGAGAAGUGGAAAAGAAGUUGGGGCAUGUUCUAAACCAUCAACAUCAGGUCUCAAAGAGGAUGAAAAACUGAAAUUUGAAGAGGAGGAAGAAGGCCUACCCACGGCAAAGGUGGAAACACCUUUACCGCAAGCUUCUAGUACCCCAAAGUUGUCCAAUCUGUCCAAUACGGGUAAGAGUGUGUCAAAUUCAGUUCCUACUAAUGUUUUUCCUUCGAAUGUUCAUUUUCCUAGUAGGUUUAUGCACACAAAGAAGGAAGAAGCUGAAAAGGACAUCCUUGAGACGUUUAGGAAAGUUCAAGUUAACAUACCCCUUUUGGAUGCAAUCAAGCAAGUCCCGAGAUAUGCCAAGUUUUUAAAGGAGUUGUGCACCACUAGGAAGAGGAUUUCGACCAAGGAGGUUGUAAAGGUAGGUGAAAAUGUCUCCGCCAUCUUGCAACGCAAACUACCCCCCAAAUGCAAAGAUCCAGGUAGUUUUACAAUUCCUUGUGUCAUUGGUAACACUCGCUUUGAAUCUGCCAUGUUAGACUUAAGUGCUUCUAUAAAUGUUAUGCCAUAUUCAAUUUAUGCAUCUAUGAAUUUAGGAGUGUUGAAAAAUGAUGGUGUGAUCAUACAAUUGGCCGAUAUAUCUAAUGCCUAUCCAAAGGGAGUUUUGGAAGAUGUUUUAGUGCAAGUCAAUCAUUUAAUCUUCCCGGCGGAUUUCUAUGUGCUAGAAAUGGAUGAAUCAGACCAUGCCCCUUCAUUGCCCAUCCUCCUUGGAAGGCCAUUCAUGAAAACGGCCCGGACUAAGAUUGACGUGUUUAAUGGAACUUUGUCCAUGGAAUUUGAUGGGGAAGUUGUUAAUUUCAAUCUUUCUGAUUCUAUUAAGUACCCUAGUGAGGACAAUUCCUGUUUCUCUAUUGAUAUAAUUAACUCUUUGGCGCAGGGAUAUCUUGAAGAUUUGACGAUGCGCUUGAAAAAGUCAUUACAAGAGGCAUGGAACUCAAAACAAAGGGUGCAGACCCUAUGCUAACCCACGACACAAAUGAAACACUCCAUGCCGUGCCUCCUAGUGAGGAAAUCAUUGAGUUGGUUGCUGCCCUUGAGUCAUUACCUAAGCAUGGUGGUAAGUCUCCUAACUUCGAUUCAAUUCCCAUUUCGACUAACAAAUUGCUUCCAUCCAUAAUUCAGGCACCCAUCCUUGAUCUCAAACCCUUACCAAGCCAUUUGAAGUACAUUUUCUUGGGGGAAAAUGAGACCUUACCUGCCAUUAUUUCCUCAUCCCUCACGGCACAAGAAGAAGAGAAACUAGUGCGUGUUUUGAAGGAGUUCAAAUCUGCCCUAGGUUGGACCUUGGCCGAUAUUAAAGGUAUAAGCCCUACAAUGUGUAUGCAUCACAUAUUCUUGAGGAGGGGGCCAAACCAACUAGAGAGGCUCAACGCCGUCUCAACCUUCCAAUGAUGGAAGUUGUGAAAAAGGAGAUAAUCAAGCUCCUUGAUUGUGGAGUGAUUUAUCCCAUCUCCGAUAGCCGUUGGGUUUCACCUAUCCAAUGUGUGCCCAAGAAAUCUGGAGUAACGGUUGUAGAAAACACGGAGAAUGAGCUUGUGCCCACCCGAAUUCAAACCGGUUGGCGAGUGUGCAUUGAUUAUAGGAAGCUCAACGCCACCAUAAGGAAGGAUCAUUUCCCAUUGCCGUUCAUAGAUCAAAUGCUUGAGAGGUUAGCAGGUCAUUCCUUUUAUUGUUUUCUUGAUGGUUAUUCUGGUUAUAAUCAAAUUGUCAUUGCCCCGGAUGAUCAAGAAAAUACCACUUUUACUUGUCCCUUUGGAACAUUUGCAUAUCGACGCAUGCCAUUCGGCUUGUGCAAUGCUCCUGCCACGUUUCAAAGGUGUAUGGUUAGCAUAUUUUCUGACUGUGUUGAAAGGAUUAUUGAGAUAUUCAUGGAUGAUUUUAGUGUGUUUGGUAAUUCAUUUGAUAAUUGCUUGGAUAAUCUCACUUUAAUCUUGAAAAGUUGUGUUGAAACAAACCUUGUGUUAAAUUGGGAGAAAUGCCAUUUUAUGGUUAAACAAGGUAUUGUUUUGGGUCAUAUAAUCUCUGAAAAAGGAAAUGCGGUUGAUAAGUCUAAAAUAGAUCUUGUACGCUAUUACCCUCUCCUACUUCGUUGAGAGAGGUUCGUUCUUUUCUUGGUCAUGCAGGAUUCUAUCGACGAUUUAUCAAGGACUUUUCCAAGAUUGCACAGCCCCUAUGCCGUCUCCUACAAAAGGAAGUGUCUUUUGAGUUCAACGAGGCGUGUGAGCAAGCAUUCAACCAUCUCAAGGACCUACUCACCACGGCACCAAUCCUCACUCCACCAGAUUGGUCCAUUCCCUUUGAGCUAAUGUGUGAUGCAUCGGAUUAUGCACAUGGAGCUGUUUUGGGUCAAAGGAAAAACAAGCUGCCACAUGUUAUUUAUUAUGCUUCUCGUACCUUAAAUGAUGCACAAUUAAAUUAUUCCACAACUGAGAAAGAGCUCUUGGCUGUUGUCUUUGCAUUAGAUAAGUUUAGAUCGUAUUUAAUUGGCACUAAAGUCAUUGUUUUCACUGACCAUGCAGCCUUGAAGUACUUGUUCACAAAGAAAGAAGCUAAACCUAGACUCAUUUGUUGGAUGCUUCUACUUCAAGAGUUUGAUAUCGAGAUUAAGGACAAAAAGGGGAGCGACAAUGUAGUGGCCGACCAUCUAAGUAGGUUGGUGCGUGAAGAAGAGGUUCUUCCCAUCUCUGAAACAUUUCCGGAUGAACAACUCUUGUCAAUUAAGGUAAGUGAGCCUUGGUACGCAGAUUUGGUGAAUUAUUUGGUGACUAAACGAGUUCCUAGCACCCUAAACAAAUUCCAACGUGAUAAACUUAAGAAGGAUGCUAGAUUUUAUGUUUGGGAUGACCCAUACUUGUGGAAAUAUUGCCCAGAUCAGAUUAUAAGAAGAUGUGUGCAUGAAUCAGAUUUUCACUCAAUUUUAAGUUUUUGUCACACAUAUGCAUGUGGGGGUCAUUUUGGCACCCAAAUGACAGCUUUUAAGGUUCUUGAAUGUGGUUUCUAUUGGCCUACUUUGUUUAAAGAUGCUAGAACCUUUUGUUUGACGUGUGAUCGCUGCCAAAGGAUAGGUAAUAUAGGCCAAAAAGAUCAAAUGCCGCAGGUACCCAUCUUUGUUGUUGAAAUUUUUGAUGUUUGGGGUAUUGAUUUUAUGGGUCCUUUUCCUUCAUCUUUUGGUUUCAAUUACAUAUUACUUGCAAUUGAUUAUGUUUCAAAGUGGGUGGAAGCAAAAGCCACUCGAACUAACGAUUCUAAAGUUGUGGCAGAUUUUGUGAAAACUAAUAUUUUUUCUAAAUUUGGGAUGCCUAGGGUGCUAAUAAGUGAUGGAGGGUCUCAUUUUUGCAAUCGUACCAUUGAGGCAUUACUCAAGAAGUACCAUGUGACACAUAAGGUUUCCACACCUUAUCACCCCUAAACCAAUGGCCAAGCCGAGGUGUCUAAUCGUGAGAUCAAACAGAUUUUGGAGAAGACCGUUGGGCCAAAUAGAAAAGAUUAGAGCUUACGGGAUUAGAGCUUACGGUUGGAUGAUGCACUAUGGGCGUAUCGAACGGCUUACAAAACCCCAUUGGUAUGUCUCCUUUUCGGCUUGUGUAUGGCAAGCCAUGCCAUCUACCCGUGGAAUUAGAACAUAGAGCUCAUUGGGCCAUCAAGACCUUCAAUUUGAAUGUGGACCAAGCUGGAAUUCAUAGAAAGCUUCAAUUGAGUGAACUUGAUGAGAUAAGGCAUGAAGCUUAUGAGAAUGCUAGAAUUUACAAAGAGAAGACCACGACAUUCCAUGAUAAGAUGCUUCGAGGCAAGACUUUCACACUAGGGCAGAAAGUGUUGUUGUUCAACUCCCGUCUUCGUCUAUUCCCUGGUAAGUUACGUUCCAAGUGGGUUGGUCCGUUUGUUAUUACUAAUCUUUUUGUGCAUGGUGCAAUCCAAAUUAAGAGCUUGAGAACUGGGCAAGAAUUCAAGGUAAAUGGACAUCGAUUGAAGCCAUACUACGAGAACUUUGUGGAGCAUGUUGUGGAGGAGAUCCCACUGCAUGCCGUGGGUUCCAAGGAGGAGUAAAUGUGUUCUUCGUCCGGCUGUACGACGUUAAAGCAAGCGCUAUGUGGGAGGCAACCCAUGCAUACAACAAAGGAAGCCCUAGGAAUCACUCCAAUUCCAGAUUUGCGUUCCUAAAACCCUUCUCUUUGUUGUUGUUUCUAUUUUGCCCUGUUUAUUUGUUUCGUUGCUGUUUGCAUGUUUACUUGUGUUUUGUGUGAAUUUAUGCUUGAAACAUUGAGGACAAUGUUUGAUUUAAGUGUGUGGGGGGGGGGGUAAUUAAGUGUUUUUGAUGCAAAUUCGUGGGAUUCUAUCACCCAUAACUUCAAGUGUUGUUCCUUGCUAUUUUUAAGUGUUUUUAAGCUGUUUUGGUGUGUUUUAGUGUGUUUUGUUCUAAAAAUCCGAAAAUCUCAUAAAAAUUUGAAAAAUUGUUUUGAAAAAGCCAAAAAGAGUUAUUUUUGUGUGUUUGUUUGUGUCUUAGGGUACCUUCCAACACAAUGAUGAGGAUUUGGUUUGUAAUUACAUGGCUGUUAAAGAGAGUGAUAAACAUGGAUGAAAGUUUGAAUUACUCUUUGGUUUAUGCUUGGUUGUGGUUAUAACUUAUGAAUUCACAUGCAAUCAUAAAGGAAAAAAAAUCAGUUUUUGUAACAUGCUUGAAGGAAGGAACUCAAACUAACGCUACAACCUUGUGAGACUUGAGCCUAAACAUUUAUUUGGAGAGUUAAAAUCUGUGCAUUAUUGUUUUCUAAAGUCGUUGCAUGAUCUCAUUAUUUUUUGCUUGGUUACUACUUAGAAUGCGUUUCAUCAUUUAGUUCCAAAUGCUAGAACUCAUGCCCAUUUCAUUCAAAACAUGUUAUUGAUUUACAUAACACAUAUUCAAGAUGAAGUUGUGUAGUUACCACCACCAAAGCCAAACUGCCAUGUAUCCUAUAUCAUUAUAUGUUUAAGUUUAACCCCAUUGAGCCUUAUUAGCCUACAUUCUUUGUUAACCCACGUUACCCUCACCUAGCCUAGAUUAGGACCAUCCAUACCCUUGUUCUUGAAGCAUAGUAAAGCAUGAUUCAAAUUGAAUUCCUUUUGAUUAAUGUUUGGCAGAAAACAAGUGUGGGGGAAGUGUCUCUUAUGUGAGUUAGUGUGCCAUAGGCACGGGUAGAAAGAAAAGAAAAGAAAAAUUCGUGAAAAGAAAGAAAGAAAAAAAAAAAAAGAAAAGUGUGAAAAGUAUGAAAAAAAAGAGUUGAAAAGAUGUAAAAAAGAGUUCUAAAAUGUUGUUUGUUGAAGAAAGGGUCCAAAACAUUGUAUUCGGCCCUAACUAUUGCUUUAUUCUUCCCUUCAUGUUUAAAAGUUGAUUUCUGCAAUCUAAGUGAAUUCUAAGUUUCAAUUUCAUUACUUUGCUUGCUAUUGCUUUAAGAACGUUUGUUAUCCCUAUCCUUCUUUUGUUAACCAAUACCCCAAGCCCCGUUGCAACCCUUGACUUCAAUCUUGAGUGUUAUGUGUUUCAAUUUGUGGAGUUUGAAUUUGGUAUGAGCAUAUGGUGUCACUGGUUCUCGCGUCUAAGUAGCAUUCCAUUCAUGAGAUCAUAUCUAAACAUGCUUAUUAACUCCAGAAAUUGCUUUCUUUGUGAUACAAAUAUGUGAGCGUUCGUUUCAUAUCUACAUCAAUCUUCUCGCAUAUAACUAGUAUAGGGUGUGUAGUUAGAAAAUCUGAGUGAAAAUUGAGUGCAUAUCUUGUAAGGAAUUGAGUGAUUUCUCUAAGGCAUGUUACUACAUUCAAAACAUUGUUUAAAUUGGUUAAUUGUGAACUAGUAAGUGGUGACUAUGAUUAAGUAUGUGCUCAAGUGUAAAGAUGACUCAAAUCUGUGGGGAUGAUGAUUUUUAACAUGUCAUGUGCAUUUGAAAUCCCUGAGGCAAUUGUUGGAAGGUUUAGGUUGUGUUUUAUUUGUUUUGUUUCGUUUUAUUUCUUUGUUUUGCUCGAGGACUAACAAAAGCUAAGUGUGGGGGAAUUUGAUAGGAGCAUAUUUAUACGACUUAAUUGACUUGUUCUCGUGCUUUUACGUUGUGUUUCUUUAGUUAUUUUAGUGUUUAAAGUCACUUUUGUGUGUUUUCAGAUUCUAAGGCCAAAGUGUGCAAAAUUAUGUAAUUUGGAGCCUUUUGGAGCAAAAGGAAUGGAUGAAUUGAAGACUUGAAGAAAUUAGGUUUCCUAAUCAACAAAGGAUUCCUAAUUGAAGAUGGACUCCUAAUCACAUGAGGAUUCCUACUCCAACAAGGAUUCCUACUUGAAGUAGGAAAGUUAAGCCAAGGUUUCCUAUUUUGGUUUGACCUUUCCUAAUUCUAAAAAUACUUAUGUUCCAGCCACUUUGAGGAAUUCAUAUGCACUUGAGGACACAAAACAAAGGCCCUAGAACCCUUAGGGACCUUUGCCGCUCUUACCCCAUAUUCCACCUUCCUUGCCGUGCAAGGGAUCCAUUUCCCCUUCAGUUUUAGGACAUCUAACCUUCCCUAAAACCCAUGCCGCACCUUGUGAGGGAUUUCUGACCUUUCCUCUUCCUUGUCGUGCAAGGGAGAGUGAUUCUUUCCUAUUUUCUGAAUGAAAACACAUUCCUUUUGUGUUUUAAUCCCAUGCCGCACCUUUUAGCCAAUUUCCCUUAAUUUCUGAUUUGUUUCCCUAAUUCUAGAAGCUUUUGACUUAAUUUCUGAUUACCUAAAUAACCUAGGGUUUUAAUUCCCUAAACCCUUUAAUAAACUUCCUUGUUGCAGCCACAAAACAUCCAUUCACUACCAUUCACGCCAGAAAUCAUCCACCAUCCCUUACCACGUCCAUACUUCACCAUUCAUCAUAAUUUCUGCCCAGAAACAACCCUUGCCAUCCCCUACAUCCAUUCUAACCUUAAUUCCAUCCUUCUACAUCAUCCAUAACUCCCCAAACUCACCCCUAACCCUUGUGCCGCAUCAAAGGAAAGGAAGAAGAAAUGCUUGAAGGUUCUAGCUGUUCAACAUUGAAUCGUUGGAGUAUUUAGAUGUUCCCUUUCUUAUAUUUACAAUGUAUAAAUCUGUUUUCCUUUGUUUUGUAAACAUGAGGAACUAAGCCUUUUUGGCUAGGGGCUAUUCAAUACCAUGAUUAUGCUUGCAAGAUGAAUUGAUUACUUCUAAUUGUUAUUUCAUGAAUUGUGAAUGCAAUUUGCUUAACCGUUUGAUUGAUGACUUAUUUUUGUGUGUUGAUUAAGGUGGCCAACUUAGUUUUCAUGCAGGAAUUUGAAGCUAAAAUAUAAGGAAGUUUCACCUAAUAGUUACAACCUUAUAUUUGCAAGUAGUGGAGGUCGCUUAUAAAUUCUUGGCAAACGUUUCAUGCUUUUCAUAGUAACAAUUGCCUCGUCAAUGCUUAUAGUUUUCAUGAAGCUUAAUGAUCUUUGAUUGUAUCUUUAUUGUGCUUUUCACGUAAGGGACUUUUAGAGAAUGUUUUGAGUUGUUGCAUGUGCAUUCCCAUCCAAUUCAAUAACUUAAGGAAGACUUGAAGGUUAAAAAAGUGCUAUCACAGUUAACCUAGGGCGUUGAGAUUCAUGGUUUAUUGAAAGAAGCAAUUGGAAAUCAGAGUUGAAUGCAAGUGUAUCAUGUGUGGAGAAGAACCCUCUAGUUACCCCAUAUCUCAUAAAUUCACCUAAUUUUGUCUAAGAAUCUAUUUACAUUGUUCUUGUCUUAAAUUAAUUAUUUUCGUCCAAACUCAACCCCACCUUAUUUCCUUGAGUCAUAUUAGUUAGAACUUGUCUUAGAUUUUGUUUUAGUGUUUUAGAGUUUAGUUUUGCAUUAUUUGAGUCAGUUUAGAGUGUUUAGCAAUCCCUCAUAAUCCUCGGUUUAAGAACGAUCCCUACUUAUCCAUACUACAAUUGUCAACAAGAGGGUUUAAUUUGUGUGUUUAGCUAUUUUACGCAUCAAUAUUCCCUUGAAUCCACUGCGAAAAUGGAGUUGUGUCGUAUCUUUGCAAGAAAUGAUAUAGAAAAUCAAUUUCCCUAAUGAGCAGGAUUGGCAAAGUGUGCUUGUAGGCACAAAAUCCUUACUUCAGAUAAGGAGAUGCGUUGUAGCAUCAUUGUUCGACCUAAGUGUCCCAAAAGGUCGUGCCAAAGCAAGUAAACUGCUCAAUCACCAGGCUAUAGGUCGGCCACAUGUGGUGUAUUCCCAGUUAGGAGACAACCCAUUGACCCCAAAUCAAAGCUUCAGGCUCAUUUUUGGAGGUGGUGCAAAGAUAUUUCACUCUAUUUUAUUCAGUGGUUUCAUUUAUGAUCCUUGUCAUCACGAAUAUCCUUAAAAACUCAACGUCAGGAAGAAUUUAAGGUCCUUUAAAUGAUAAUUCAGUAUCAUUCAUACAACGAGGAGCGUGCCAAUGCUCUUAAUCAGGUUGGAUAGACCUGAAGUCGUUUUUAGAGAUGUGAUUUAGGUGUAAAGUUAGUGUGCGUAGUACGCAUUCAUCCAGACAACUAACUUUCCCACAUUCCUACCUAAUCACGUGUUUAAUUGAAUCGGUCACAUGUAUUAAGAAACAUGAUUCAAUUAACUCAUAUUCGAGGACAAUAUCAAUAAGAUUAUCCAUAAGUAAAACAUACACCAAACUUGAAUCCAAGAACAUGGAAAAAUGUUCACAAAGUAAAUUUACUAAGGGGAUUCGGCCAAUAAGGCCAUCCAUGUCGAAAUUUUGCUCUGACAACGAUGUUCAGUGGAGCAAAAUCAAUCUCACAUAUUGACUACUAGAAUGGUACUUCUCAACAACAUUGGUAGGGGCACGAACAGGUGCAUAACCAAUGAUCUAUUCCAUCAAGACGGGAGUAGAUUCUUGCAAGGUUGAGGUUUGAGAAUAUUAUCCCUUAUUCUUGAAGUUUUAGGUCUUAUGUACCAAGGAUCAUGCUUCGGGCAUGAUGCCACAACUUGGCAGGCCCUGAUUAUACUAUAUGUUUGUGAACACAAACUCGAAAUUGUAUUGUGAAAGAAUAUGCAAUUCAGUGUAUCCCUGCCGAAGUAGUGCAUCACCAUUUGGUUAGGUUUUGACUGAACUGGGUCGAGCCAUUCAGUAGACUCCAGCCGAACUGGGUCUAUACCUUUCUCUCACGUCUGUGGUAGUAAUCAGAUCCGAGAAUUUGGUAAAUUUCCACUUUCUACACUGCUGCUUCAGGAGCGAGUUAGAAACAUGGAAUGACGAGAAAAGUAUUCUCCAGUCAAGAUUCGAUCGGAUUUAUAAAAUUCAGAAUUGUACUCAUUCAUGGACGUAAUCAUGGUUUGCUGCGGGCAAUUUCUUUCAUGAUUAGACGGUCUAUAGAAGCGAGUCAAAGAUCCAUGGAAUCCUCGUUCGGGGAGUAUUUCCAUUUGUAAUGCUUUGAGCAUAAGUCUUCGAAUGAAGAUUAUGGCGGACGCUUAUUGAUAGUCAAUGGUUUCUCAGCUUCUUGAUAGUCAAGUGGAGAUUCACGUCUUGUACCCCACCUAAAGUGGUUUCUAUUAGAAAACGUCCAAAUCAGGAAAAUCAAACUUGUGACGGUUCGACAAUCCACUGAAUUUGAGGGAACAAGAUUGUGAUUGGUGCUAUGAGAAUGAAUCAUCCAUAAGCAUCAAAGUUAGAACAUUCGAGUUCUAAGACAUGGUUUUCAUGAAAAACGUCGGGUUUUCAUGGGUGUAUUGUUUUAUGAAAUCUUCGGGUUUCAAAGGCACUAAAUUUGAAACUACAGGUUCAAUUUAGUUUAUGAACGUUUAGUUCAUAAAGGAGAGGUUCCUGCAAGAAACUCAGAAUGCAAUAUACUAACUUAAUGUAGUGGAUUUGAGUUGUCUUCGGGAACUCAAGUGUGAGAGCUUCGUUACUACGAAAGUAUGUGACAGUUCAAAGAAGAGAAAUAAAUUAUUGAAUCGUUAAUGUCCAAAAGUGAUCUUCAGGUCAAUAAUUUUGGAUUCAUUAUCAGAUUAAUGGACUGCAGGUCACUUUUAAUUAAUUCAAUACAUCGGGACCAUUCGAGGUCGAUCGUAGAAGCAAAAUAAUAUUAAAAUAAUAUUAUUAGAUCGAAAAUAGAGCCCCAAAAAUAAUUGGGCUUAAUGCCGGGGGUUAAGAGGCACGGGUUGGGUGCCUUAAGCAUAAGGCGAGGCCUAAAUGUUCCUUUGGUGGUGGCUGCAGGCCACGGGUGAGGAAUGGGAGACCCUAGCCGCAACUGGGUCGUGUUUUGGGCCACAAGGGAAUGCACGGACAGGUCUAGCGCAAGCUGGCCUGUGGGUUGUCACGGGGAUCCCAGCGAAUGCUGGUUGCGUGAAAGCAGCCCCAUAGUGACUGCAGGUCAUGGUCUUGGGUAUGGAAGGCACAGUGACAAGCCCAGCAUAUGCUGGCUAUAUGUAUGCGGGCCAGAGCAACAAAACCCAGCAACCAAAAAGGUUGCAGCGUGUGUAUGGGAGGACAGCCCAGACAAUUGGGCAGGUUGGAUGGCUGCGGGCCAAGGCUAGUGUGCAUAGGCUCAUGGCUGCAAGCCCUACCUAGGUAAAAUCCAGGCUUAGGUCUGGUGAUUAUUUGCACAAUGAUGAUGCGGUGGUGUGCCGCACCAUGUCCUGAUUCCCCCAUUUUUUUUUCAAAUCCUUUAGGGUUUAGGAAAACCCGAAACAUGCUUUUAAUUUAAUUGAAUACUUUGACUCACAAAUUCCACAUAGCAAUUAUUGCGUAAUGUAUGAAACAAAUAUAUAUAUUGACCAAUAUAUGAACAUAUACAAUAUAUAUAUCGGAAGGUAAAUAUAAAUGUAGGUGGUUCAUGCAUCAUGGGGAAUGUUUUCAUGCUUCAUGGGUCGUUUCAAAUAUCUUCCUUUAUUUUAAACGUACCUGAGUAGCAGAAAACAACAAAAGCCUUUGAAUUUGUAGAAGAUCCUUCUUGAAAGCUGGAAUUCUCCAAUGCGUUGUAUUACGUUCAACACAGAAAAAUUAAAUUGAAUCAAUAACAUGUAGAUCAAUUUAAUAAAAUAAUAAAUUAAUGAUGAAAAGAAUGAUUAAAACGUAAUACUCCCCAAAUUGAAGAUCAAACUCUCUUGUUAGAGUAGCGUCAAGAUAAUGUGUUGUAGGCAUAAUUUACUGAACAAUUAUGGAGGCCUUAGAGAGAGAGGGGGUGCGGCAAUAUAGAGAAGAAUAGAGAGAUGUGUAAUUGUGGGUGUGUGCUAUCUCACCCCAUUGUGCCUUUAUUUAUAGUAGUAGGAAGGGUAAAACCUUUCCCUUUAGGAUUACAACAUUUAAUAGGUAAUCUAAUCCUAAUAGGAAUAUAAGAUACAUUCCCAUAUUUCCUAGGAUUUACACAAUCACAUUCCCAUUCUAAAUAGGACUGCAACAAUAUGUAAUUAGUUUACCUAUUUGCAAAUUUACAAUUAGCAAAUAAUAUAUUUUGUAGGUAAAUUAAUAUUAUUUUGUACGUAAAUUAGUAUUAAAUAAAAUAAUAUUGCUUUCUUUUGUAGGUAAAUUAUUUUGCAUAUAUUUGGCUUGUUUAUUAUGUAAAUAAAUUAUUUUGAGCAAUCUAACAUUUUAAAAUUUUAAUAGUAGGUGCACUAUUUGAAUCAAAUAAUAUUUUUUAGGUAAAUUAUUUUACAUGAAAUUUUACAUAUAUUAGUCAUUUUUUUAUAUGUUUGUGAAAUUAUUUACCAGCAUUAAAAUGUAAAAACCUGUGUGUUCUUUUACCAGGUUUCACAAUGAAAUUCCACUUAGUUUGAGUGUAGAAUGCCAACCACUCAUGUGUCAUUGUACCACACUGUAAUUCAAACGUACAAUUCGUACCCCGAAGAAUCUUCUCGUCACAUUUUAAUCGUUUUUCCCUUUGGUUAAGUAAACAUUUAAUACUCUGAAAAAAGUUGUUUUUUCGUGCAGCGUGCUAUAAAAUUUGCCUAACAUAAAAAAUUUUAAAUAAGCGUUGCCAUUAGCAUGACGUCAGCUUGUUCGAAGGCAACACGCCUGACUUGAAAAGGCUGGGCAUUUGGGCAGGCAGUGGUUGCCCCACCACUUGCCCUUUAUUUUAUGAACUGCUAGAGUGGGUUUUGUGGGUUGGAGGUCAAGGGCAAAUAUUAUUCACAAAUAUAUGUAUUUUUAUUUUAUUUUUGUAUGCUUUGUUAGCCUUAUCUAGCAGAAUUAAAAACCUUAUUUUUUCAAACUUUAUAUUAAGAAUAAGUAAUUAACUUACCUCAGGCAGCCUAUCAUCUUUCAUUCCUUCAAUCCGGUGAAAUUCAUGGCCUCCCCUACAACAUCGUCACCGCAUUAGAGGUAUGGUUUCUGUACAUCUAGGAUACCAGAAUAUCGAAUCAUGAACAAAGAGGUAUGAGAGAAAAACAUAUUGGCUACAUUUCAAAGCCCUAUCACCAAAGAAACAAACCCGUAGUCCUUUUCCUUCAAGCUGCUGAAUGUCAUGCCAUUUCAAACCCAAGCCGUUCAUCAGCAGAUAAAAAAUUGAAAACCGCAACUACAACUUAGUCCCACAUCGGCCAUCAGCAAGAAGGCAUAACGCUUUAUAUAUAAUGAAGCCAAACUCGUGCCCCAGCUGGAAAUUUACUUGGUUGGGGGGACCACUUGCUGGUUGUAUAACACGGGCGCUGCAGAGUGCCAGCAAUUACUCUUUCAGACCUUUUUUACGAUCUUCAACCGGGGGGGAUGCACUUCACAGUCGGUGACGUCAUAAUAUUGACGUCUGCCCGACACAAAAUGUUCUGCUGGAAGUGAUUUUGCGGUAGGCAAACAUUGACAUGAAGAUUGAUACGACAAAUAUUGGUAGGUAGAUAGUGAACAAACCAGGAGGAUCAAGCGUGUUUAAGGGUGGGCAUGGUCCGAUUCGUCCCGGUUCCAUCCUCAAAAUGAAAUCGGAACGGAAAAAUUUUAAUGGUUCGGUUCAUGAUAGUUCUGGUUCGGUUCAUGCCGGUUUACGGCUCUAACCAAAAUUAUAUAUAUGUUUUUUCUAAUUUUCUACUUCUAAUACCAAAAACAUAUUUCAACCACAAAUUCAAGUAAAUUUGAGUUUCCACUACUAAAUCUACAAGAUUUGUGACCGGAAUGAUAGAAAGUGUGCAUAUAAUAUAAAUCAAAAGAUAGAAAUGCUCAUAUUAAGACUAAAGUGUAGAUCUUAAACUAAAACUAAAAUGUACAUAAUGCAUAAUAUAUUGGAAAAGAAUAGAGAAAAUAAUGUAGGGGAGAAAAGUGAUCAAACAACAAAGAAGGGGGAGAGAAGUGAAGAAAAAUAUUGGGCUUAUGCACAUGGUCUUCUUGGAAAAAUGUCUUAUUUAUAUAAAAAUAAUAAUAAAACAAUAAUUUAUAUUAAAAGCGGUUCGGUCCGGUUCAUCCGGUUCUUAAUAUUUCCAAACUGGAACCGGAACCGUUUGAAACGGUUUGGUUCGGUUUUCACUUUUUUGGUCAAUGCUAUUUUUUUACGGUUUUUUUUUGUCACGGUUCGAUUUGGUUUUCCGGUUUGGCGGUUUUUAUGCCCACCCCUUAUUGUGGAAAUGAUUUUGAGAAUUCUCAAAUUGUAUCCAUUCAUUGUACAUCGUGCGAUCAGUUUUCGUCAGAUACUAUUCAUAUUUAAUUUAAAAUAAUUUCUGAUCGUACAAUGUACGAUGAACGAACACGAUUUGAGAAUUUUCAGAUUCCUCACAAUCCUCAUUCGUGAACAAAGAGUUUUGAUAAGACUAAUAUAAAAUGGCUUGCAAAAACAGUUGCAUUUCAAGUAGAUUCAGUGAAAGGCAUAAGACUAAUAUAAAAUGGCUUGCAAAAACAGUUGCAUUUCAAGUAGAUUCAGUGAUCCUUUCUCGAAAGAAAAAAAAAAGUAGAUUCAGUGAUCUAAUUAUGGAUAUCUCCAAAUUUUUUCCUUUUUUCCUUAUAUAGCACUUAGCCUACUUUCAUUUGUCUGUUUUUGAAAAUUUUAGAGAGGGGGGGGGUCACAUUCUUUCAAUUGGGUGGUUUUUGAGAAUUUGAGGGGAGAGAGAGGGGGGGGGAGAGAGAGAGAGAGAGAGAGAGGAGGAGGAGGAGGAGGUCACAUUCUUUCAAUUGGGUGCGUCAACUAAAAAGAAAAAAGUGGAGGAGGUGUGCGUGUACCGUACGACGGAGGAUUCCAUCAAUUCACAAAUAUUUUUUUUAAAAGAAGAUAAUUAGUGGUAAAUUACGGUUAUCUAUUCAUUUUGGAAGCCAAGAAGACUCGUAGAGGCAUUUCAGCCUCUCCCUAUCCACAGUUAAGCAUACUCAUCAGCUUGAAGCCUCGACCCAAGAUCUCCUUUUUUUUUUUGUAUUUAAUCUGUGCCCUUACCAUUGGCCACUUACUAUGGAUGAAUUCACAAAUUUUUGAGGUCUUGAUUCUUGAACAGUUCAUUUGUCACUUUUUUUCCUUGUAUGGUGGGAUUGAAGUGUUGUGAUCAAAUAGGAUUUGAGAGGAUAGAUAUAAAAGGAGCCCAUCUCCUAGAAAUGGAACAGAUCAGUUUUAACAAAAGAAAUCAAAUACAAAAAUAUUGGAGGUUGGCUUCUUCUCUCUUCCUUCCUUCCCUCUUAUUCUAUGUGCAAUAAUUAAGGUCGAGUUAGGGUUGAGAUUGAGUCUUAACAAAGCACAACUAAAGUUCUACACUCCGGAAUCAUUAGAGGAAUCAAAAGCUCUCCCAAACGGUUUUAAUGUUACCUAUCCUCACCAUUGUGAGUUGUGUUAGAGACUUGUCACACUGGCAUUAGGCAACACUAGAUUCGGAUACUCAAUGUAAAUGUGAAGGCAAGACCACAUGCUUUACUAAUUUGGUGAGACAAACUCAUGUGAUAAAAUUUCUUAAGACUGAUUAGAGUCAUUAGACAAACAUCAAUAUAGAAGCUAAUGGGAGUGAGCAAAAACAGACUCGAGAAAUUUUGUAUGUGUGGUUAUAUUACUUUAUCCUUGGACAAAAUUAGCAUCCACUGUACACAACAUGGCAUAUGUAUAAUAUUUGGACGCUCUUGUGAUAGACCACUAGUUCGUAUUUAAAAUUUUUAGGAUUAUUUAGAUAUAGACCCUUGCAACUCUUAUUUCCUAGAUAAAAACCCACUUAAUUCUAAACAUCAAAAUAAAAUCCAAAUUUGAAAAAGACUGCCAAAUAGAAAAGUAAUUGACCUACUAUUACAAAAUAUUUACAACUUGUGCCACAAUAUUCAAAUCAAAUUAAUAAAUAUUAUUACUUACCUUAAUUAUAAUGAACAAAUAAUUAUUGCACAUACUAUUACCCCUAACAUGUAACAUCCCACAUCGUUCAGGGAAGUGGAUCCUAUAAGUCUUAUAUGUAUAUUCUCAUCUCUACCUAGCACGAGGCAUUUUAGGAGCUUAUUGGCUUCAGGUUCCAUCAGAAUUCCGAAGUUAAGCGAGUUCGCCCGAGAGCAAUCCCAUGAUGGGUGACCCACUGGGAAGUUCUCGUGUGAGUUCCCAGAAACAAAACAUUGAGGGCGUGGUUGGGGCCCAUAGUGGACAAUAUUGUGCUACAGUGGAGUCGACCUCGGGAUGUGGUGGGGGCCUGGGCGGGGAUGUGACAUAACAUAUACACACACACACAUACAUACAUAAAUACAUUCAAAAGUAUAUCGUACUACUAAAAGUUCAAUAUACAUAUAAUUUACCUAUAUGUAUAUAGUACUACUAUACGUUCAAAUAUAUAUAUGCGCAGUACUAACAUAUAUGUUAAAAAAUUAUUAUAUGUAAUUAGUUUACCUAUUUGUAAAUUUAUGAUUACCAAAUAAUAUAUUUUGUAGGUAAAUUAAUAUUAUUUUGUAUGUAAAUUAGUAUUAAAUAAAAUAAUAUUGCUUUCUUAUGUAGGUAAAUUAUUUUGCAUAUAUUUGGUUUGUUUAUUAUGUAGACAAAUUAUUUUGAGCAAUCUAACAUUUUAAAAUUUUUAUAUUACAAGAAAGAAUAUAUGGAUAAUUAUGAAUUUAUAAUUAUAUUUUGGCUUUUUAGUAAUAAUGGUUCUUAAAAUUGUCAUAACUCCUCACUUUGAUCCCUUAAAUUGAAAAUCAAUAGAAGUAGUCUAUGAGAUUGUACACAAUUAAUCAUUUUGGUCAUCCUGUGAAAAAUUUCAGUUAAAUUGAAAAAACCACCAGUUGAGGGGAUGGGUUGAUUAGACAAAAAAUAUUCUCAAUUUAAUAGAGAUUUCUCAUAUAAAAACCUAAAUAAUUGACGAUGGACAAUCUUAAGAACGACUUCUAUUGAUUUUAAAUCACAGAGAACAAAGUGUGAAAUUAUGCCAAUUUUAGAGACUAUUUUGAAAAGAUUUCCUAUGAUUUUAAAUAUACACACCAAAUCCACCAGCCUAAAUAAUUGGGGAUACACGUCACAAGCUAGCAAUUUACCUCCUUCCAGGAAACAUGUAGGUAUCUAUCUUUAUGUUUAUUCAAUGCAAUCCUUGUAUUAUACCAAUUUACGUAUUCAAAAAGUAUAUUUAGUUUUCUGUGUACACUUUUCCACCCAUUCUUUUUGUUCUCCAUUCCUUUAUUUCCAAAAUAAUAAUUAACCAUUAAAGUUAACCCAAAAAUUUCCCUCCCUAUUAAAUUCUUGGCCUUAGACCAUCUUUUAUGGAAAUGUCAAAUUAUAACAAUCAAAUUAUAAUUGAUGGACUACCUAAUUUUGUGUUUCUCCAACUAAAUUGUCAAAUAUUAUUUUCUUAUUAAUGUAGAGCUUUAAAUGGUUGUAUUUAAUAAAAAAAAAAGUUGAAACAAAAUUUUUAAUGGCUGAAACAUUAAAGCACCUCCAUAGGAGAUGUCAAAAUUUAAUAUAGAAUUUAAAUUUGAAAGAUUAUGUGGCAGUUUGAUCAUUUUAAAAAUUUUGUUCUCCACCUGGUAUGUUAUAUUUAAACUAUUAUUACUUUUCAUAAUUGUAAUAUGUAUUUUUAGAACAAAAAUAAUAAUAAGAAAAAUGAUUAAAAAAACACUUAUAAAUCACUAAAAAUAGAUUUGAAGUUGUUGUCUAUCAAUCCCCAUUAUGCCAUAUAGGAAUUGACAUUUCGGUUGGAGUACACACUAAUGUUGUAUUUUUUUACAAUUAUUGUUGAUAUGGACUUUUUGACGACCCAUAAUUAAAACUAAUAAAAAAUAGGUUUUUUAUUUUAUUUUAUUAUUUUUUAUAUCACAACAACAUGGUCCCUGAAAUUGAAAAUUAAUCAAUGUAGUCCAAGAAAAUAGGUAUCACAAAUCAAUAUUGUGACAGUCCGUCCCUAAUUUUAAGAAUUUUUAAAGUUUUAAUAAAGGAUUUUACAAAAAUGCCCGUUGAGGUACGCACAUUAUUCGAGGUUAAUCGUUGUGUCGUGCCAUCUAAAAUUUGUUUUCUUGACAUAUCCUCGUAGUACUCGUCGCUACGAGCGUGUGGGUGCUGACGGUUCGUUAUUUGGAGUUAUAACGAAAAAGAUUUUAAAGUUUGAAGUUUGAGCAUUUUAUAAAUUUUAUUAUUAAAAUUUGGAUGGCCCAGAUUUAAUGAAGAAUUAAAUGGAUGGCUUGGAUGUAAGGAAAACAAAAAUAAAUAAAUAUAAGUGAAAGAAGGUUUGUGUGUGUGUGUGUGUGUGCGUGAGAGGAAGAAACAGAGGAAGGAGAUUGGGCAAAAAUGCCCAAUUGGGACAAGAGAGAAGAAGGCAUCAGGAGGGAUUGAGAGAGGGAGAAGCCGACCAAUCGGAACAGAGGAAAGGAGAGAGGGCGAGAAGCGGAGGAGAGAAGAUCAGAAAACGGGUUUUCCCCCAACCCGUUUACCCGCGACACCCACACCCAAAUUCCGGCGAUUUUCACCUGAUUUCUCACAAAUUGGAUCAAGGUACCACUUCCAAUCAACACCUAGGCCUUCCCUCUUCAUGUUUCACCCCAAAAAUCAUGAAAUGUCGUGGUGAUUUGGCGAAGAACACCUACACGGGUGCCGCGACCUUCUUGUCCAAAUUCUUCAAAUCUUGAAAUGUUUUCUUUCAAUUACUAACACCAUUAGUAUUCCCUUAGGACCUGGAACAAAGCCCAAGCUUUGAUUUGGACGGUGGAGUUGAUUUGAAGGUCGAAUUGGAACUCAUCCAAUUCUAGGGUCCGCACGGAAUUGGAUGAAUUUGAAGUGUUUCCAGGCCAAAUUGGCCUUGGCCACAGGUAUAAAGUUUCUCUACUCAUUGAGAUCUUCAAUUCUGUAGUUUUUGAGAAUUUUUGGAAAUAGUUGGAUUUUCCGGCGAGCCGGGGCGGCCGACCGCCACCCGCGGCGGCCCGUGCGGCGGCGCGUGGCUAAUGGGCCGCCAAUGUCAUUCUUAGCAUGUGUUUAAGGUUCUAGGUUCAGUUUUGAUAAUUGAUGGACGUAAAUUGAGUAAUUGAACCUAAGUUCGUUUCGAUUCGUGGUUAGGUGAAAAUGUGAAUUUACGAUUCAACCGUCGGAUCGUCACCCAACUUUGAUACGUUGUAAUACGUAAUAUUUAAGGAUUAUAGGAACUUACGGAUCGAGAAUCCGACAUACGGAUCUUUCGGAAUUGGAGUUGUAAGUUCAUAAACUAGAAUGUUAACCGUCACUUGAUUUUGACAAUUGACGGAGAUCCGACCGUUGGAUGGUAAUGAAAUUUUGGGAUGUUGUCCUAGAGGUAUAUUGUGGACCUCUGGAAGUUAUGGAUUUGAAAUCUGAGUUGCAGAUCUUCCGGAUCGAACUACGUAGUGACGUGUUUUAUAUAAGUUAUAUAUUCUAUCGAUAUGAUUUCUGAGGUUGGAUUUGAUUAUUGUUCUAGGCGCCGAUCGUCAUGACGCAUUGAUGUGUGGUGCUAGGGAGUUGUUGGGCGAACUCCAGGUGAGUGGGCAGUAUUUCUGUUUAUACCUAUAUACUAUUGAUAUUUUUCCCAGAAAUUGAGUUUAAAUGAAAGUACGUUUUAAAAUGCCAUGCAUGCAUAUUAUGAAUUAUAUGAUUUGGUACAUGAUGCAUAUAUGUGAAAUGGUGUUGUGGACGCACAUGUGAGUAUCAGGUGAGGUUUAUGUUGUUCAUGUGAUUUAUUGAUGCUGUGAAUUGUGUUGAGAGCUCACAACCUGCACCCCCGGUGUUAGUGCUUAUGUUAUUCACCCUGCAUCACACGCUCACCUUGGAUCCAAGUAGAUGCUAGUCGUACAGACCACUAGAGGUGGUUCCGACAUGCCAGUCGUACAGACCAUUAGAGGGGUUCCGACUGGUAGGUGACUUUAGAUUAUGUGCACAGAUGAUUGAUGAGAGAAGCACUAGAGCGUAUUAUUUCACCAUCUUAGUCGUACAGACUACUAUAGGUAGUUCCGACUUAUGUGCAGUGUAGUGCCGUACAGGUCACAGUUGAUGACUUUGGCUGGAUGGGAUAUUGAGCUAUAGAAUCAGUUGUACAUGACCACUAUAGGGUCUCCGGUUGAUUUAUUAUUUCACCUGAUUUAUAUUGAUGCAUUCAUAUUAUAUUUUGGCAUAUGGCAUGGCAUGGCAUAUUCUUUCUGAAAAGCGUUGAAGGAUUGUGAUUUGAGCUUUUGAUGAUAUAUAUAUGUUUAUAUACUUUUUUUUCUGGGAAAGUAUACAGGUUUUACGGCGAGGGGUUAGAAAUAUUUUAAAUGAAAUGUUUUCGACAAACUUUGUUUUACUGACCCACUCAAUUUUUUUUUGCACCCCUCCAGGUUCUAGAUAGCAGAGAUUUGGUGGCCACGAGGAAUCCAACGGUGUUCUGACAGAAUUCACAAAAGUAGGACUCACCCUCGGGUGUUUCAUCUUAGUAAUUGUAUUUUUUUAAGCUUCCGAACUGUGUAAAUGGUUACGUCACUCUCAUGUGACGGCCAGCAUGCCCUCAUUCGGGACGGGGUGUGUCAAAUAUAGUCAUGCCAUCACAAUUCUGUUAAAAAAUCUGUUAAGUGCUGAUGUGGCACAUAAAUGGGCCCCAAAAGUCAUAUUUUCUCACAAAUGGUCCUUAAAAUUAAUCCAUGACAUCAAAAUGGUUCCUAAAAUUGACUCGCGACAUCAAAAUUGUCCAUGAAAUUGAAAAUUGAUCAAUUUAGUCCUUCAAGUAAGUGUCUCAAAUCAAUGUAGUCAUUCCGUCACAAUUUUGUCAAAAAGUUGGUUAUGUGCUGAUAUGACACAUAAAUCGGUCACACAAGUAUAAUUAAAUUUAAAAAAAAUUACAAAUAGGUUUAAUAAUUUAAUAGUUAAUAAAAAAAUUGUCUACCCAAAAACUCAAUCCUGCAAUCACCUCCGAUCCCAGUCCACAUUUCUAUACCUCUUUCGCUCUUUAUUCUCUAAAAAAAAAAAAAAAAACUCAAUACACCCAUCUUUACACACUUCGACUCUCUCCACUGAAUUGAACCUGGAUCGAGAUCAUCUUUGGUGACGGCUUGACCCAUUGGCAAUGACUUCUGGGACAUCACUGUUAACAUUUAGGCGAUCAACAUCCUCACAACCUUAAUCUUGGAGAGCUUGUUCGGCGCUUUCUUGGUGCUCUGGUGAUGCAAAGAACGACGAGGUCUGUCUUGAGAUAAUGAGGUUAUAACCGAGGUGCGUCCAUUGUUGGUUGUAAACUAUUUCCACACCCGCUCUUAAGCCUUGGUUAAGCUUGGUGACUUUUAGAAUUUAUGGAAGGGAAAACUCUUAGGAGUAGGCCCUACUAUAAGAAAAAAAAAAUUCCAUUGUGCAAAAAGGUUUUAGACAAUUUUUUUAAAUAAUUAUUAAACCCACAUCAGCACAAAACAAAUUUUUUUUACAAAAUUGUGGCGGAAGGAUCAUAUUGAUUGGCGACAUCUAUUUUCAAGGACUACAUUGAUUGAUUUUCAAUUUCAAGGACCAUAUUAUGAUAAAAACCCUUAAAUCGUGUGGGGUCCAUUUAUUUGCCACAUCAGCACUUAACGGAAUUUUUAACAUAAUUGUGACGGAAGGACCACAUUGAUUUGCGACACCUAUUUUCAGGGACUACAUUGAUUGAUUUUUAAUUUCAAGGAUCAUCUUGAUGGUGAGGGUCAAUUUUAGGGACUAUUUGUGAUAAAAACCCUAAAAAAUAAAUUUGAUGUUGAUGUCAAAUUUGACUCAUAAAUCACAAGGGCUUCAAUUCCAGUCUCAAAAUAACACUUUGGUUAGAAGCUUUUUAAUAUCAAGUUUGCACAAUGACAUCUCCACCUAAAAUUUAAUAUCUCCUUUGAAGAUGCUUAGAGGUCCAACUGUAGAACACCAAAAACAUAUUUGUUGAUUGCUGACCCAACCCUACUACUAUAUAUAGCUGGUUUUACCUUCAGCAUAUCUUCACCAAACCAUUUGUAGUUACUAGCUCCAAUCUUGCAAUUUCUGUAAUUUUUGCCCAUAUAUCUCUAUAGCUCCAAUCUAGUAAUUUCUGUAAUUUUUGCCCAUAUAUCUCUAUAGCUCCAAUCUAGUAAUUUUGCCUAAUACACUGUCUGUAUAUAUAUUUUUCUCUAUCUUUCUCAAGGCAAGACGUUGAUUAAUUAUUAUGUUCAACUAUAUGUUAAUUAUUAUUUUAGGUUGAUUAAUGUCCUUGUGUUCUAAUUUGCAUGUUAGGGUUUUCGACAGGUGGGAGGUUUUCAGAUCGAUAUUAAAAGGAGAGACACAAAGAUGAGCAGACAAGGAAGUAGUGGUCCAAGGCUUGAAUUGAAGUUGAACCUAUCUCCUCCGAGGGCUAACUCAUCAUCACCAGUUGACUCCCCAACUGCCUCCGAGACAUCCUCGGACAUGUCAAUCGAUCACAGCGCAUGCGUGUCAUUGGAGCCUGAUGAUCAGACGAUGCAUUACCUGAGUAGGCCCGAAGCCAAGGCGAUGGUGCUCGCAGGGUGUCCUCGGUGCCUCAUGUAUGUCAUGCUAUCUGAAGUGGAUCCAAAGUGCCUCAAAUGCAAAAGCUCUGUCUUGCUCGAUUUUUUUAGCGAAGAAAGCAGCAAAAGGAGAUGAAUAUAGAUCAGAAUAUGCUUGCUUUUCUUGUUUUCACAUGGAGCAAGUACAUUCCAAUAUAUUUGUUAGGCUUUUGUGUUCCUGCUGAGGUUUUGGGUGUUCAGGUUAAGCCUUUUUCUUCUUCCUAAAGAAGAUUUUUAUGUUAUAUUUGCCCGAGUUGAUUGCCUUUAGGUACAAGUAGCUUGUAGAGUUUGUUAGGUUGUUUAUUGUAAGAGUAUUGUGGAACUUUCAUUUUCUAUCUACUUUUCUUCUUCUAUGUGAAUGCAUCCUAAUUAAAUCUUGUGCCUUCUUGCUUCCUUUGAAGAACUGAUGAAGGUGCAUCAUAGAGUCAGCCAUCUGGAGUUAGCUUAAUCUAGCGAUUUUCUAUUUGGAAAUUGCUUUUCUAGAAGACUUUUUGUUUAGAAGCACGUCGAUAUUUUUGAGAAAACCAAUUUUUUUUCGAGGUCUGAAACAAACCAAGUUUUUAACAAACCCUAAUCAUGUGAGUCCGUUAGCAAUCUUAGUUUGAAUCAAAAUUGUUGUCAAAACGCCAUUCAGAUGGAUGGGUAAAUAGUCAAUAUAUUCCAUCCAUUGUUAAAGAAAACAAAAAAUAAAAAAUAAAAAAUGCACAUUCCCAUCUCAGGCACGAGUCGCACGACACCUACCGCCUCCCGCCCUCCAAGCCUCUUCCUUUCCCAGCCACGCCACUCACAGCUUCUUCUCCAUCUAACUCCUCAAAUAUCCCCAUCUCCAACAAUACAUAAAGCAAUUUCUCUCUCUCUUGGCAUUUUCUUCCACCUCCAUCUCACACAAUAGUUUCGAGGCAUCAACCGCAUCGUUUAAAUCAAAUUUUUUUUCGAGGUCUGAAUCAAACCCUAAUCAUGUGGUCAAGUCCGUUAGCAAUCUAAAUCUGAAUCAAAUUUUUUGUCAAAACGCCAUUCAGAUGCAUGGGCAAAAUAGUCAAUAUAUUCCAUCCAUUGUUAAAGAAAACAAAAAAAUAAAAAACACACAUCCCCAUCUCAGGCACGAGUCGCACGACACAUACCGCCUCCCGCCCUCCAAGCCUCUUCCUUUCCCAGCGACCCCACUCACAGCUCCUUCUCCAUCUAACUCCUCAAAUAUCCCCAUCUCCAACAAUACAUAAAGCAAUUUCUCUCUCUUGGCAUUUUCUUCCACUUCCAUCUCACACAAUAGCUUCGAGGCAUCAACCGCAUCGUUUACAUUCCUGGGAUGAAUAACGAAGGCCUUGGCGACCUCGAUUUCAUACAUGAUGUUGAACGGUUACUUGAGAUUGACCAUGCAGUAUAAUGCGAGAGAAGUCUUCGAAGAGGUUAAUGGCUACCGUUGUUGUUGGACCAGAGGGGGCAUUAAGGGUGUGCAAAAGGUGUAGGGCAUAGGGUCUGAAUUUUUUAGGGCCCCAAAAAUUUUUGAUCCUCCUAUAUAUAUAUAUAUUACGUAUGAGUAUAAAUUUUUUAAUAAAAAAAAUUUUUGAUUGAAAAGAAAAAUCAUCAUCAUAUGAUUUUAUCUAUAUUACAAUUGAUUAAGUGGAGCUUAUACUUAAUGUAUUAAUUUAUUAUUUUCUCUAGCAAUAAAAAAACUUGUGUAUUACUUUUUUCCACUUUACUAACUUAUUUAUUACUUUCUUCCACAAUACAAGCCUAUUUUUGCAUCUCUCUUUUAGUCGUGCUCCAUGCUUUCAUGGAUGAACCCUAAAUCAUAAUUUCAUAGCAAUUGGAGAUUAUUCAAUUAGUAAGAGUGAGAUGUUGAUUUCAAUUAAGUUUGAAUAUUGAUUGUUGAAUUAUGUAUGAAUAUAUUGUCCAAAAAACUGUUUUUUUUUUUUUAAUAAGGAGAGCCUUUUCAUCUAAUUCGCAUAGAGCCCCCAAACUGUCAGAGAUAGCCUUGUUUUUGACCUGAGGAGGUUGAUUGGUAGAGACAACAAAUAGGAUUGAAGGACAUAUUUGUCUUAAAUCUUUAACAGAUAUUCAACUGAAAAAUGAAACAAAAUUGCAAAUUGGAUCAGUAUUGCUAACGGACUUGACCACAUGGUUAUGGUUAAUAGGUUUUUUUCAUCACAAGAGCUAUAUUAAAAUUAGAGUCUCACCACAAGUACCACGAAAAAAAUUUGGCCUUUUAAUAAAAACCAAAUGCACGCUCCAUUAAAGUUCUUGAAGUUCUUCUUACACUUAAAAUACUUUCAACUUUUUAAUCAAGCGUUGUCAUAAACGCUUUGAAUUAUAUGAAAGCUUGUUUAGCUAUUUUAAAAAUAAUUUUAAACAGGUAAAAAUUCUCGUUCCAAAUUAAGAACCAUAAAGGAAUAGAGGAUGGAUAUCGAAUCCUACCUUCUCUUUUUUAUUAUCUUGAUUGGUGAAUCUACCUUAAUAUCAUAAAUAAUUCUCAAAAACAUGGGAAAGGAAGGUUAAGACAGGAGUGGAUUUUAAAGAGAGUAAAGGAUCCUUGACAUGAUGUGCAAUGGCCAAGGGUUUGCUACCCCCAAAUUUCAUGUCUCUUUUAUGUCUCUUUCCUAAUUUUUUGACUUGUAUCCUCUAACUUUACUCCAAACUAAAUUAUUUCACUGUUGGUUUUUUAAACAUUUAAUCUUUGGUAAUAUAAUUAAUUUUAUGAAAAAUUUAACAGUAUUAAUUUAGAGUUAAGUUGAAUUAUUUCACAUAAGAGACAUGAGAUUCAGGGACAGCAAACCCUGGGCCAGAAUGACAUCAAGCGGCCUAAUGGUAAGGGCGCAGAUUGUGGUUUUUCAAUAAAUAAAAAAAAUGUGAGAGAUUCUGGGUUUGUUGUUUCGAGCUGGUGAGUUUGUUUGACUGUAGCUGUGGAUAAGGUGAGAUUUCCCAUAACUUCAUCAGAUCUAAAAAGGGUGGAUUGUGUUUGACAUUGGUUGCUCCCCUUUUAAAAGAAAAAAAAUGUAAAAGAAUAUAAUCGCCUGCUGGCACCACAGUAUAUUCAAACGUAUGGUAUCAGAAUGUCGUACAAAAGUGUAAUAUCUCUGGCUCUAAUAUAUUGUUAUCAUGUAUGUUUAGGUUUCUUGACUUACAGGAUCUUGACUUGCAAGAAAUUAAAGAAAAGUGAAAUUAAAACCAUGGAGACGAAGAUUCAACGUUAAUGGCACUCUGUCAUUUAGUAUUAUGAUCUAAUGAUAUUUCUCUUUAUUUGUAGGUGAGAGAUCUUAAGUUUGAUUCUCGUAAAAAACAAAGUUGAACCACAUUAUUACGGUAAGCCUAUUGUAAGGUUUAGCUCAAUUUCCUCGCUUUCUUAGUGUAAUUACUAUCGUUUUUUUAAAAAAAAAAAAACAUUUUCCACCCUUUUUUUUUUCAUCCUAACAUCUAACUGUUUAACUCACUAAACUACGGCCCUACUAAAACCAAUACAGUGCCUGCUGAAAUUAGUACAUCAUGUAAUGAAUUCUUAUUAAAUUUUCUGUGUUUGGAGUAAAUAGGGCAGGGGCGCGCCCAUUCGAGGCGCCGUUCUCUCAUCACUGUCAAUGCACAACCGUUGCAGUGGUAGUUGAGCUAACUUCCCUAAUAUAAUUCCUUCCUACUUCCAGAACAUAACUUCAACUAAUGUUAACUUAAAAUUUGUAUUUUUAAAUUCCAGAGCAACUAUUUAAAUUACUUAAAUUUGUAUCGUUAAUUUACUCAAUACAUUGAAAUUUGUCAAAAAUUCUAGCUAGUUCUUUAAUACAAUAUUUGUUUUUUAUAAUACUGUCUCAGCUGAAAACGGACCCCUUUCCUUUUUACGGACGGUUUCUCUCAAGUAACUUUUUGGAACAUGUUCUGAAUUUUAUUUCAAAAAUUUAAGCCAUCUAUCUUUUUAAAUCAUAGUUCAAAAUCAUAUUUACAGAAGCUUAGACCCUUAUUAAGGUAUUCACUUGUAGUGAAGAAAAAUAAAAUGUGAAAUACUUAAUAGAGUGGUUAAAUAGUUCUGAAUUUGAGUGAUGUUUUUUUCAAAGAUGAUUUUUGAAAGAAUAAAAUAAUGAGUUCAAAUAUUUUAUACUCAUUUUGUGCAUGGCCUAUUUGUGACCUCUAUCAUGAUCGACACAUGUUAAUAAAUUUAACUCUCUUUAACUUUCAAUCAAUGAUACAUGUAGACCUUGCAUUCGUGUCAUGUUUCUUGUGUUCGUGUCAUACCCGAUAGUUUAACGGGUCGUGCCGUGUAAUUGAUAGGAGUAUAUUUAUGCGACUUAAUUGGCUUGUUCUCGUGCUUUUACGUUGUGUUUCUUUAGUUAUUUUAGUGUUUAAAGUCACUUUUGUGUGUUUUCAGAUUCUAAGGCCAAAAUGUGCAAAAUGUGUAAUUUGGAGCCUUUUGGAGCAAAAGGAAUGGAUGAAUUGAAGACUUGAAGAAAUUAGGUUUCCUAAUCAACGAAGGAUUCCUAAUUGAAGAUGGACUCCUAAUCACACAAGGAUUCCUACUCCAACAAGGAUUCCUACUUGAAGUAGGAAAGUUAAGCCAAGGUUUCCUACUUUGGUUUGAUUUUUCCUAAAUGUCCCUAAAGUUCUAGCAACUAUGAAGACUUCCUAAGCAUUCUAGGACAUAAAACAAAAGCCUAGAACCCUUAUUGACUAAUGCCGCACUCCCUUGCCCUUUCCUCUUCCUUGCCGUGCAAGGGAGAGGGUUCUUUCCUGUUUUUAUGCAUUAAAACACAUUCCUAUUGUGUUUUAAUGCCUUGCCGCAUAUCCCUUGCACUUUCCCUUAGUUUUCUGAUUUUGUUUCCUAUUUCUAGAAGCUUUUGACUUAAAUUUUGUUUACCUAAAUAACCUAGGGUUUUAAUUCCUGAAAUCCUUUAAAUAAACUUCCUUUUGGCAGCCACAAACACCUCCAUUCACUCCCAUUCAUGCCAGAAAGCCAUCCCCACUCUCUACCACAUCCAUACUUCACCAUUCUCCAUAGUUUCUGACCCCAAACACUUCUAGCCGCACCAUACAUCCAUCCUAAACAUAAUUCUAUACUUCUACACCAUCCAUAACCCCCAAAACUCACCACCAACCCUUGUGCCGCAGCAAAGAGGAAGGAAGAAAGCCUUGGACGUGCUUGUUAUUCGAUUGAGGAUUGCUGGAACAUUUUAGGUGUAAUCUUUCUUUUGUUUUCAAUGUUUCAAUUCAAUAAUCCUUGUUUUCUGAGUAUGAGGAACUAAACCCCUCUUAGUUAGGGGGUGAUUCGAAACCAUGUUCAUGCUUGCAAUAUGAUUUGAUUACAUCCAGUUGUGUUUUAUAAGUUGUGAAUUCAAUUUACUUAUCUGUUCGUAUAAAAACUGAUUUGUGUAUGUUGGUUGAGAGUGCACGCUUAAUUUUCAUGCAUGAAUUUGACGCUAGAAUAUAAGGGAGUUUCACCUAAUCGUUAUGAACUUAUAUUCACAAGUAGUGAAGGUUGCUAGUCACAAUCGCGUUAAGUAAAUUCUUGGCAUAAGUUUCAUGCAAUUCAUAGUAACGAGUGCCUUGUCAAUGCUUAUGUUUUUCAUAGAACUUAAUGAUUCUUGCUUGUAUCUCUAUUAUGCAAUUCAUGUAGGGAAGUUGUAGGGAAUGUUUUGGGUUGUCGUAUGCAAUCAUCCAACUCAAUAACUUGUGGAAAAACUGAGGGUUAAUUAGUGCAAUUCACGGUUAAUCUGGGGCGUUGAGUAUUCAUAGCUUAUUGAAAAGCAACUGGAAAUCGUUUUGUAUGCAAGUGUGACAUGUGUGGAGAAGAACCUUCUAGCUAGCCUUCCACCAUAAGUUUCAUUCAAAUUUGUUCUACAAUCUGUUUUAGUUACAAUCUGUUUUCUUUGUUUUCAAAUUCGUCAAAACCAAAUCCCCCAUUAUUUUAAAGUGUUAGAUUAGUUAGAAAUCAAUUUAGUUUGUGUUUUUAAGUGUUUUGAUUCAAGUUAUAACCCAAUUUCGUCCAAGUUUGUGUUUGUGUUCAAAACUGCCCAGAAAGUGUUUAUAAGGCAGUUUCGAGUGUUUGUUUGCUGUUUUGAGUCUUUUGGUUUGUUUUAGUGUUUUUAACUUUAGUUUUACAUUCUUUGAGUCUAGUUUAGUGUUUUAAACUUUUUUUUUACGUUUCUAAGUCAGUUUUCAAGUGUUUAGCAAUAUCUCCUAAUCCCCGGUCCAAAACGAUCCCUACUUACAUACUUUACUACAUUUGAUAAAAAGAGGGUUUAAUUUGUGUGCUUAUAUAUUUCACAUCAGUAAUACCCGUUAAAUUAAACGGGAUAAUAUGACCCGAUCCGAAAUCAACCUGUUAAUAUUAUCACGUAAUAUGACCUAACCCGUUACCCGUUAAGAAAAAUAUAUUUUAAAUCAAUAAAUAAUGAAAAUGAAAAACAUAAUUUGACUCCAAAAAAAUGUAAAACAUAAUACUAAAUUAGUAUAUUCACACUAAAUUUUGGAUUUGACCCCUUAAUGAAAGUUGUAAAGCUUGUCAUUACGAGUGAUUAUAUAUUUUUACAUUUUUCACACUUCUACAAUAAUUAUUAUUAAUUUUGCACUCAAAUGAAAAACAUUGUUCAUGAGAUUUGGAGGGUUUUAAAAAUCUAAACAACUAUGUAACCAUCGUCUAAGCAUAGAGGAUGCAAUUACGAGCAUUUAAAUAUGCUUUCGCAUCUUUCAGACUUAUACAUUAAUGAUUAUGAAUUUUGUUUAUUUUGAGCCCCCUUAAAAAUACUAUUCAUGAGGGUUUGUAUUGUUUUAAAAACUCAAACGAUCAUAUACCCAUCCUCAAAGCGUAGAGGAUGCGAUUAUGAGCGUUUGCCUAUUUUUUCACAUUUUUCUCGCACUUGUAAAUUAAUUAUUAUAAUUUUUUAAUGUGAUUGGUAUUUUUAAAUUACUUGAUAUUUAUUUUUAAUGUGAUUUAUAAUUUUUUAAUCUCAAUUUUUGCCUAUAGUAUAUUAUAAAAAUAAAUAAAUAAAUAAUGCUUAAAUUUAAAAAUUUAUGUAGAAUAAUAAUACAAUAAUAAUUAAUAAACAAUAUAUACAUAUCCAUUAUAUCUAUUUAUUUUAUAGUAAGCUUUUUUAGUAGUUUAAAAUUUUAAAGUCAUCAAAAUAACUUUUUUCUUAUUGUGUCGAAACAGGUUUACCUGCGUGUCACUUUCGUGUAAUGAUGUUAAGGACCCGUUAUUAACAGGUUCUUAUCGUGUGACCCGAAAUCCAUUAUUUUCAUGUCGUUUAUGUGUCGUGUUAACGGGUCAUGUAAGAAAUUGCCAGGUCUAGAUACAAACAACACACAAAAUGAGUGCAAAAAAUUUGAUGUCUAAUAAUGUGAAGUGAGCGCUAUUGAUUUGAAGAAUCCUCAAUUGAAGCUCACUGUGUAAAGCACUUCCAAAGGACAAGGAUUUUCUCCUCUCUUGUUUGAUCGCUCAAGUUAUUAGUCUUCAAAAAGAUUUGUGCAGAGGUUCUUCUCAAUGUGCAAUUUUCGACCCCUCUGUGUAUCUUGGAUCCUUGUAGUUAUAGACUUCCAAAGCCAUGCCUUUGGAUGGAUUUGCUUUGAUUUAUGUCUUGAUUCGUCCAUGGGAGAAUUUAGGCAUGUUUUGUGUCUUAAUUUCAGCCACCUUCCUCAUAUUGGUUGAAAUUUAUACGCCUUGUUGCUUAUUUGUGAGCAAUCUUCAAUUCUUGCUUAUUUUGUGAAGAUGCUUUGGCUUUCUUUCCGGUUUUGAGAGAUUUUGGGCCCCUUGCCGAUUUUAAGGGGGAUUUUCUCCCUUUUGCCGAAUUUUAGGAAUGUUUUACACUUCCUUUGCUUGAUUUGUGCCACAUGCCAUUGAUGACUUGUCCGUUUGUGAUGAGUUAUAUGCCACAUGGAGCUUUGUGAUACACCUUUUGUAUUCAACGAAAUUUACAUGUCUACAAUAACACAUACAUUGCAGCAACUACAACUAGCUAUGAUUGAAUGAAAAUUUUUACAGCAGCUACCGCUAGCUAUAACCCAUAAAUGGAAAGGACAGAUAUUUUUCUUUGCUUUUGCAAAAUUUAGGGUAAACCAGAAGAACUGACAACUGAGGGUCCGUGAGCAUACAUUCAUAUAUCUGGGUUUAUUAUGUUUAUUUGUUUGUCUCUCAACCAUUAAAAAGAUCUUACAAAGUUCCUGACAUAAUUGUAUCAUAAAGAACUGAAGGAAAUAACUACAGGGUACGUACGCACACAACCUUCACACCUACUUUUCCUUCUAACUGUUUUUUGGGUAAUGAACAGCUGGUCAUCAAGAGUUCAGGUUAGUUGCAAAUGGAUAAAUAGAUUAGAGCUAUCUUAAUGGAAGUCUCUUUAAAGUUUUUUAAAAAUGGUGGGUAUGGACCCGAUCACAAUGGGUCGAUAGGGUUUC